This 61189-nucleotide long non-coding RNA is filed under the name Triticum aestivum (bread wheat). RNAcentral's name for it is "long non-coding RNA (TAES_LNC017225)". The stretch from base 35967 to 36053 matches the Rfam family "MIR1120/MIR1122 microRNA precursor family". Lineage: Eukaryota; Viridiplantae; Streptophyta; Magnoliopsida; Poales; Poaceae. The record is from RNAcentral.
AAAAUUAUAAUUAAACAAAGUAGUCAUUUUAUAUAGGUUUAAACGAUGCAUGAUGCACACCUGCCAGUAUUUUAAAACACAUGCAUAUAUCGCCAGGUAAACCCCGGCGGAUAGUGCAUAUACAAGCCAAUACAAAUAUACACAAUCGAAAAACUAGCACAAGAGAGGCAUGCCUGCAUGCAAACUCUCUAGAGGCCACAGUGAGAAAUUAAAUACGGCGCAAACCAAUAUACGAGUUGCCAUAUAUCGAACGACCGUCUAAUGGAUGAUUAAUUUAUGCACGCACACACAUAUAUCUAUGUUGUCUUGGAUCAUCAGUACUUCCACAUGUCAUCCAUACUCAUGUUCAUCGGCGAGGUCUUGCCAACUGCUGUUGCGGCGGCGUUCCCCUGGUAGUUGUUGCUCAGCCCGGUCACGGCAUUUUCCAGUGGCACCAUCGACGAUGGCCCACACCCAGGCUCAGCCCCGACCAUGAAACCCUGAUCUGCACCCACAUACAUCAUCAUCUGCUGAUGUUGUUGGUAGAACGACAAUGGUGGUGUUGGGUCUGAUAUCAUCUGCUGGUGGUGGUUCCUGACGUAGUGGUCAUUCAUAAUAGGAAGCACCACGCUACCCAUCAUGGAUGAGCCAGCACCGAUGUCGCGCAAUUGGUAUGGAGAAGUUGUAGGAAGCAACAUUGGAUUUGCGAGCGAUGACGACAUCUCAUAGCCCAUGAGAGGAGGCAAUGUAUCUAAGUCGGCGAACCCCUGCUGAUGUUCCGCUCCGAUGGACAUUGGCAUGGCAUAUGAAGGCAUCACCACCUUCUUCAGUCCGGCCCUCUUAUGGAAGAUCCUACAAACCACCCACUGUUCCUACAAGCAUACAUAAAUUAAAUAAGUGCAAAUCAACUAUGAUCAGUAGCAUGCCCCAGGUGUGACUCUUUUGUCACAGAUGCCGAUCACUUUGUCAUUCAUUGCUCACGUUCAGCACAUAUAUCCCAUAACUUGGGUAUUUUGGCGGCCCUGUCCAAGUGCCAAUCUCUGGAAAUGGGGACACAGUGACUCCCCUAGGCCUCGAUUCCAACAUUUGGCCUCUGUCGACCUUUCCAUCCUUUAGAAUACUAGAUGACUCGUUGCGCCAAAUGGCGCAAGGGGCGAGAGGGAGCUAAGUAUUGUGAGAAUAUUUAGACACGCAAGUCGAAAACCAAAUGUGACCAACACUCCCGCAUCCUCUGAUUGGAAGCCGCCUUUUCUCACCGGAUCUAACAUAGAUACAUGAUUCUUCAAGAGCAAAUUUCAGAGAAAAUAUAAAGCAUGGCCUUCAGAGUGAUUAUGCAAAAUAUAAACACAUAGCCAUCUUGAGAUCCACAACAAUGCACCAACGACUUUUUUCAAACCGCCAUAACUUUGCCGAUCAUCCUUGUUAGUCAUCCUGAGAAAGACCAUGCCUCCACAGUGCGUUGUACAAAUAUUCCAUGCUAUCAAAGGCACUUUAGAUCUAACAAAGAUUCAAAUGCCAAGCCUAACAAUGAAUAACAACAAACAACCACAUUCUAAAAUUUACUAAACUUGGAUAUGCACUUUGUUACUUCAUUUUAUAAACUGUUAUAAGCGUUAUAAUUUCUUUCAUUUAUCUGAUUUAGUUGUCCCAAACUCCCAAUACAUAUUUAAACCGUGUUGUGGGCUUUCAAGAAGACAAAUGACAGAUUCACAAUAAUGGGCUGGCCCAAGUUACUUAACCAGACGAUGUUAAUCCACUUACUCACUUCAUGACCAUCCCCUCCUUCUCCAAUCUCUCACUCACCCUGUAGUUUCCACCGCAUCGCCGCUGCUCCUCUGCAUCGGAGGCACGACUUCAAUUGCAAGAUCCACUCCCGCACUCACAAGAUCUACUUCCUCCGAUGUACGCAUCGCGUCACCAGGUCUCACCAGGUCAGGCUACCUCAACCACUUCCAAGUGAACCUUCACAAACAACACAGUAUUACGUCUAAAGGAUAGCAAGUAAAUCCGGAGUAUUACAGUUUUGAGCUAAUGUUUUUUUCCCUAGAGGCGGCAGUGUAAUUAUUAGCUGUCAUUAAAAUCAAUAUUGUCUCAUGAAAAUGCCUACCCUGUUGACCCGCUAAUGGCAAUUACAAAAAUGUUUGGUUCAUUACGCCUAAUUCAAAUUAGCUUCAAUGCCUCAUGUUUACUUCCAUAGCCUGAACUGAUAAAUCACUGAAAUUUCUUCUCUGCUAAACCUAUGUCUACUUCGUAAUCAACACCCGAGUAAUAACAUGGUAGAUCGUCAUACAUGUUUAUCUCCUGUUUUCUUGAUGUCUGAGUAACAGUAUAUGCAUGUGUCCUACAAGCUCAAUGCCCUACUAUUCUGGUUGAUAGCUGACUGUUGAGUCAUUGGCACUAAGGUUGCUAAUAGAAAGGCGCACUUACAGAGAGUCCAUGAACAAGAUAGCAAGAAGAAAACAUAACAUAAAAUAGAGAUGUAAUUCCCCUUUGUACUAUGAUGUAUAUGCUUGUUUAGGGCAAACCAUAUAUCUUCAGAAAUUUGUACCUUAUCAGCUAUUUGAUUUGGUUACCGCAGUUCGGUCUUUUCCCUCUUGUGAGUUCUGCACCAUCCUUACAUGAUUCAUCAACAACCACCUAGAAACGAUCAGCAGAAAAACAAAAUCAAAGUGAAAUCAAAUGGAAUCGCAUGUAGGUAGUAGCGAAGUACGAUAUAUGCCACUCCAUUGGCACUUUGCCUGUACACCAUGCAACAUCAAGUGAGGCAUGAUCAAUAAAUUGAUCAGAUACCAACAUCAUGUAUUAAGCACAAAUCAUGAAUCAAUACCAGAGGACCAAAUAGUGUUACCACCUCUGUACUAACAACCAAACAUUUUUUUAGAACAGGGAGGCUCUAACAACCAACAUUUUAGCAUGUCAUUUGUUUACCAAGCAAAACCACAAUAGCUAAAUCUCCCAAGAGCAUACUUUCGGAGAAGCACAGUCCAGAUCAUACACCCACAAAUAAAUGGCUUGGUUUUCAACUGGCAUAAUGAUUUCCUCCCUACCGCAAGCCUCUGCCUACAACUUUAAACUGAACCAUCAAGUUAGCAUGGCAUUUUUUAUAGAAGUAUUGCUAUAGCAGUCUAAUUUCCCAAGGGCAGGAGUCUAAUAUACUUUCAGAAUGUGCAGUUCAGAUCAUGCAGUUAGAAAUAAACUUUAUGGUAGUAACUGUACAGGACUUGCUAUUCAAUUAUCUUUUCUAGUACCCAUUUGGAACACGACACAAUGAUUAGCUCCUAUUAUGUAAGGUCACACUAUUUAAAUCGAGAAUUGCUCGCAUUUCAUUAUUUUUUUAGUUAUCCUAGUAGUGUUUACUUGCACAUCAGGAGUAUCACAGUUACAACUAAAGAGGCAUUGUCCUAUCAUAAUUUAAAUAUCAGAAGCUGACAGCAGUAAUGUAAAUACAUAUGGUCGAGACAUAAUUUUGUAGCAAAACAUGUCAGAGAGGCAAUAGAUUACAUGUGAAGGCACCCACACAAGAUUAUUACAAGAGCAGACACAAGGAUCAGAACACCAAGUAACAAUUAGAAUCUGUAUUGCGAGCUCCCUUCCCCCAUUCUAUUUUUGCUUGACAUUCAAACAUAGAACAAAGUAAUUCUUUUUAAUUUCCAAAGCACAUGUGAAUAUGACAAUACAGCUUGUCAAACCAGUACAUUGACUCAUAGCUCUGUGUCUAACAUUCAAAUCUAAAAUUAAGUAACUCUAUUUUGUUCUUAAUGAAAACAAAAAGGACCUCAGAAAGCCCAAGUAGCACCAAAAAAAAUAUAACACGGGAGAUUAAAAAAAACACUGAAGCAUCAGAGUAGGGAGUAAUUAUCAAAUAGAAACAAAAGGAAAAGAAAAGCAAGAAGCUCACUUCCCCCAUCUGUUUUUGUUUUCUUUCACUUAUAUACACCAGACCAAUAGACAAGCACUUUAACUAUAAAAAAACAUAAUUCCUAAUUCAAGAACACAGUUGAAUAUUGGAGCACAACAUACUACUCUUCGUAAAGUAAAACCAGGCAUGUGAAGUCUCAAUUGACGGACGCUGCUUAGGAAGGAUUCAAUUAUGCUAUUGUUAAGUAGGUACAUUACAAAGCCUGUUCAUGCUAACAGUAGUAGAUUCUUGUAAUCACACUUCAUGUUAUAUUUUCUAAAUAAAAUAAAUGAUCUCGCUAUAGCAGAAAACAUACAUGCAUAUAGCUGACUGAAUUACCUCGCAAAGCUUCUGUUCUUGCAUUUCUACAUUGCCCUUGGUGCUGAAAAUAUAUAAAACAUCAGGCUAAUGCUUAACAAGAUUUUGAUAGUUCAGGUGAUAGGAACUAUCUACACAAAUAUAGGAUUAUGCAUAUGGAUAGUUAGCAUGCAGUAGUCAGUUUCACAGGAUGUUGCUGAUGAGCAUCCUAUUGCUGCCCUUGUUCUCAUAUAUCGGAACGUACACAGAUCCACCAAGCAGAACCAUCAGCUUGCUGUCAUUCAUUCCUUGAGAUCCACAGCAACAUAAUUUGGCACACAUAUUGGGAUUACUAACAAGCUGACCUCCAGAUCCUUUCUGGAUGCACCAAUACUCAGAUUUUUUUUCUUAAAAGAAAAGAAUGAAAACUAAGAAUUCUUAGUGGGAACUACUAAUAUGAGAAGUUAUCUGAUACAUAACACAAUUACCACUCGAUAUAGGAUAAAUUGUUCCAUUGGGAGUAUCUUCUAGCUUUUUUACUUUCUUCUGAUCCAAAGUAGGCGCUAGGACAAAGUAAAUCUUUAAACACUUUUGUAGUGGAUUCAAAACAAUAAGAAGUCAUUUAACUGGCAGAACAUAGCAUUAUGAAAAUAUAUAGCAAAGUCAUUUUUGUGUAUGCUAGUUGCAACAUCGACACAACACAUAUUCUAGCAAAUAGACCUAUGUUCAACACAUUCUACCACAAAGUGCCUGUCCAAAGAUCCUACAUUUUGGUACAGAGGUUGUACGUCACAAACCAUCUAUCCUAUCAUCAGUGCAUGCAGUAUGCAGUACACCAUUUUCCAUAGCUGGAAAGAGACCAUACAUCAUAAUCUGGUCACAAUAUGUAGACAGAAGUGGUUAUCUGGACAAAAUAGGGAGGCACACCUUCACAAAACAGUUCUUAGUAAUUAUAGAAUUAACUGAAGUAAAAUCAAGCAUGUAUGUGUGCUCACUGAAAUGUGUAUGCACCAUUGCCGAUUGAAACAAGAUACACACAGCCGAUUGAUAACCGACAGUUGAAUUAUUGGCGCUCGAAUGUAUGUAUGUGUCCUUGCUCGCCUCUUGUAUGUAUAAAGGACCAAAAUGAUAGUUUGUGUAGUGUAGACCGCUCAAUCGUAAGCAUCUUGUGUGCACCUGAUACACAGUAUACAUAUGAUUAGUACAUUUUAUCAGCAAUAGAUGUGCACAUGAGCUGAAAACAACUUCGAAGACUGCAAGAGUAUAUAAAACCUGUAACUGGUAGCCACAAAAAGAAUUGUCUUUUCUACCGAACAGGCCAGUUCGCUAUGACCAGUUCACGCUCCACGAUUCAGACACUGGUGGAAAAACAGGCUUCCGUCCAGCCCCAUAAGUCGCGAAGCUGUAGGAACCGCGACUAAUGGGACCUUUAGUCGCGGUUCUGGAGGUGAACCGCGACCAAAGGCCUGGGCCCAGGGCGCUCGGUGGCCAGCUGGCGCACGUGAGGGUCUUUAGUCGCGGUUGGCCAGGACAACCGCGACUAAAGGCCUUCGGGCACCUUUAGUCACGGUUUGCUAGGCCAACCGCAACUAAAGCCCCUCCCCUAUAUAUACCCAUCCAGCAGCCAACACUUAGCCAUUUGGAGCCAUUCUCUUCACAAGUGGGUGUAGCUAGGUUUGCUUUUGGUUCCUCUUAUGCACAUAAGGUGUUUGAUGAAAUGCCCCAAGAGUAUGAAACAAACAUGACAUGAAGUGUUGGAGCCACACUCCUCGAUCGCGGUUAGCAACUUGAUGAACCUUUGAUGUGUCAUUGAUAAAAUAUGCAUGUGUGCAGUUCAUUGUUUAAUUUAUAUUGUUUGUAGCUAGUUAGUUUAACAAAUGCAUGAUGGUUAAUUAUAUAUUUUAUAUUAUAAUAAUGCAGAUGAAUCGGCAAUGGAUGUACGGUAACCGACUCUCCGGCGAGUUCACUACGGGUUUGAAAGAUUUCCUCGUAGUGGCUAAUGCGAACAAGCAGGGGGUUUUUGUUAUCUGUCCAUGUGUUAUCUGUAAGAAUCAGAAAGGUUACUCUUCCUCAAGAGAUGUUCACAUGCAUCUGCUUCGGCACGGUUUCAUGCCAAGCUAUAAUUGUUGGACCAAGCAUGGAGAAAGAGGGGUUAUAAUGGAAGAAGAUGAAGAAGGGGAUGAUUUCAUCGAUGAAAGCUAUCUUGCUCAUUUCGGUGAUACUUUCAUGGAGGAUGCUGAAGGUGAAGGGGAAGGUGAAGAAGAGGCACGUGAUGAUCCCGUUGAUGAUCUUGGUCGGACCAUUGCUGAUGCACGGAGACGUUGCGAAACUGAAAAGGAGAGGGAGAAUUUGGAUCGCAUGUUAGAGGAUCACAGAAAGGCGCUGUACCCCGGAUGCGAUGAUGGUCUGAAAAAGCUGGGCUGCACACUGGAUUUGCUGAAAUGGAAGGCAGAGGCAGGUGUAGCUGACUCGCCAUUUGAAAACUUGCUGAAAAUGUUGAAGAAUAUGUUUCCAAAGGAUAACGAGUUGCCCGCCAGUACGUACGAAGCAAAGAAGGUUGUCUGCCCUCUAGGUUUAGAGGUUCUGAAGAUACAUGCAUGCAUCAACGACUGCAUCCUCUACCGCGGUGAAUACGAGAAUUUGAAUGAAUGCCCGGUAUGCACUGCAUUGCGUUAUAAGAUCAGAGGCGAUGACCCUGGUGACGAUGUUGAGGGCCAGAAACCCAGGAAGAGGGUUCCCGCCAAGGUGAUGUGGUAUGCUCCUAUAAUACCACGGUUGAAACGUCUGUUCAGGAACAAAGAGCAUGCCAAGUUGUUGCGAUGGCACAAAGAGGACCGUAAGUCGGACGGGGAGUUGAGACACACCGCAGAUGGAACGCAAUGGAGAAAGAUCGACAGAUGGUUCAAAGAUUUUGCAGCUGACGCAAGGAACAUAAGAUUUGCUCUAAGUACAGAUGGCAUGAAUCCUUUUGGCGAGCAGAGCUCCAGCCAUAGCACCUGGCCCGUGACUCUAUGCAUCUACAACCUUCCUCCUUGGUUGUGCAUGAAGCGGAAGUUCAUUAUGAUGCCAGUGCUCAUCCAAGGUCCGAAGCAACCCGGCAACGACAUCGAUGUGUACCUAAGGCCAUUAGUUGAUGAACUUUUACAGCUGUGGGGUGGUGUCCGUGUGUGGGAUGAGCACAAACAAGAGGAAUUUGACCUACGAACGUUGCUUUUCGUAACCAUCAACGAUUGGCCUGCUCUUAGUAACCUUUCGGGACUGUCAAAUAAGGGAUACAAUGCAUGCACGCACUGCUUACAUGAGACUGAAAGUGUACAUUUGCCAAAUUGUAAGAAGAACGUGUACCUUGGGCAUCGUCGAUUUCUUCCGAAAAUUCAUCCAGUAAGAAAGAAAGGCAAGCAUUACAACGGCAAGGCAGAUCACCGGCCGAAGCCUGCGGAACGCACUGGUGCUGAGGUAUUUGAUAUGGUCAAGGAUUUGAAAGUCAUCUUUGGAAAGGGUCCUGGCGGACAAUCAGUUCCGAAGGGAGCUGACGGGCACGCAGCCAUGUGGAAGAAGAAAUCUAUAUUCUGGGAGCUAGAAUAUUGGAAAGUCCUAGAUGUCCGCUCUGCAAUCGACGUGAUGCACGUUACGAAGAAUAUUUGCGUGAACCUCCUAAGCUUCUUGGGCGUGUAUGGGAAGACAAAUGAUACAAAGGAAGCACGACAGGACCAGCAACGUUUGAAAGACCCUGAUGACCGGCAUCCGGAAUGGUUUCAAGGUCAUGCCAGCUACGCUCUGACCAAAGAAGAGAAGGUCAUCUUUUUUGAAUGCCUGAGCAGUAUGAAGGUCCCGUCUGGAUUCUCGUCCAAUAUAAAGGGAAUAAUAAACAUGGCGGAGAAAAAGUUCCAAAACCUGAAGUCUCACGACUGCCACGUGAUUAUGACGCAAUUGCUUCCGAUUGCUUUGAGGGGGCUCCUGCCGGAAAAUGUUCGAGUAGCCAUUGUGAAGCUAUGUGCAUUCCUCAAUGCAAUCUCUCAGAAGGUAAUCAAUCCAGAAGUUCUACCACGGUUACAGAACGAUGUGAUCCAAUGUCUUGUCAGUUUCGAGUUGGUGUUCCCGCCAUCCUUCUUCAAUAUUAUGACGCACCUCCUGGUUCACCUAGUCGAAGAGAUUUUCGUUCUCGGUCCUGUAUUUCUACACAAUAUGUUCCCCUUCGAGAGGUUCAUGGGAGUAUUAAAGAAAUAUGUUCGUAAACGUGCUAGGCCAGAAGGAAGCAUCGCCAAGGGCUAUGGAAAUGAGGAGGUAAUUGAGUUUUGUGUUGACUUUGUUCCUGACCUUAAGCCGAUUGGUCUUCCUCGAUCGCGGCACGAGGGGAGACUAAGUGGAAAAGGCACGAUCGGAAGGAAAUCAACGAUAUGUAUGGACGACCAUUCUCUGACUGAAGCACACCACACUGUACUGACCAAUUCCAGCUUGGUGGCUCCGUACUUUGAGAAACACAAGAAUAUUUUACGCUCGGACAACCCGGGGAAGCCUGAAUCCUGGAUUAGGAAGGCCCACAUGGAGACUUUCGGCAGUUGGUUGAGAAAACAUUUAAUGAAUGACAAUGAUGUUGUAGAUCAGCUGUACAUGUUGGCCAAGACACCAUCUUCGACUAUAACGACUUUCCAAGGGUACGAGAUAAAUGGGAAUACAUUUUACACGAUCGCCCAAGAUAAAAAGAGCACCAACCAAAACAGUGGUGUCCGCUUUGAUGCAGCAACCGAGAAUGGGCAAAAGGUCACAUAUUAUGGUUACAUAGAGGAGAUAUGGGAACUUGACUAUGGGACCCAAGGGCCAAAAGCUGGUGGUACGGGCAUGGGGGAACGCUGAACCCGGAGACAGGGGAGUGUGUUUACCGGGGCAAAUUAAUUAAACCCACCCAAGCCCUUAUUAACGCAAUGAGGGAUGCUCAACAGGGGAAGAUCAAGUUCAACAGAGAGAACGACGCGCUGACAAAAGCCCUCGGGAAUCCUGAACACGGAGGACGUGUACGAGGCAUGGGGCACAUUCCGUGGAAAAUAGGGUUCCCCCAGAACGAUGACCCAUACGGUUACAGAAGCCGUAAGAGAAAGAUGGAUCGGGAAGCAGAUGUUGUGGCGCGGUUGGCAUCGGAAAUGGAUGUGAUGAAGAAAACCAUGAGUGUACUAGUAGCCGAAAGAGAUGCAGCUCGGGUGCAGCAUGAAGAUCAUCCAGCGGAUCUCGGAAGCCAGCAGCGGAGAAGCAGCGUGGCUUCCACGGAGGCCCCACCGGCUGGUGCAGAUGCACCGACGAUCAAAAUUACUGCACCGGAGCCUCUGGUGGUCGAAAUUACUGCACCGGAGCCUCUGGUGGUCGAAAUUACUUCACCAGAGCCUCCUCGCUACCCCGUGGACGAUAUAAAGGAGAUGAAAGAAUGUCAUCUGUAUUAUCCUAUCGGGAACAUGUCCAUGAAGGUAGCCAUCGGCAGUGCUUUACCAUGUUUACCUGGAGCACUCCACCACAACAACCCCAUUCAAGAUGGCUAUGCUCGUGUCACGGUGGAGGACAUAGUCCAAGGGUUUGAGGACCUGGAGAUUGACAUUGCUACACCUGAAGGGGAGAAAAGACUUGGAGAUGUCAAGCGCCAUUUCAUUCUAUGGCAAAAGAAGUUUAUCAAGUUUCCAGGCGAGGCGCCAAGGACAACAAGUCCACCCCCCUACGGUGGUGGUGGUGGCGGUGGCGGCGGUGGUGGUGGUGGUGGUGGUGGCGGUUCACCUACACCUCCGUCACGUCAGCCGACGCCGCCCCCCAGUCCACAACGUCCGGCGGGUGAUCAGCCGCCGCCCCCCAGUCCUCGUCCGGCGGGUGAUCAGACGCCGCCCCCCAAUCCACCUCCGGCAAAGAAGCAGAAGCAGUCCUGGAUUAUUAACCCGGACCCUUAUGUACCUAAGACCACAAAGGUACCGGAGCCAUCACCGGAGCCUCUCCCCACAAGGCCUUGGGAACGUAGUGCCGAGGAAGUCGACGCGGCCGCGGCUGCUGAUUUGGAGAAAUGGAAGGCGGACUGCAAGAAGAAAAGAGAGCCCGAGCCCAAGCCAGUAUUUUCUGAUGAGCAAAAGAAGUGGGCUAAGUCAUUUUUGAGCACACCGUCCCAAGCCGCGAAGAAUCUGCCUAACGACUAUGCACGUGAACUUCGCAGGCAGGCACUCAUGUUCAAGGAGAACAAAGAGCGGGAGAAGGCCGAAAGUAAAAAAAGCGGGAAACAAGUUGCCCAGCUCGGGGAACAAAGUAAACAAUCGAUUGCCCCGCUUAUAGUGGAAGCCUUCUGUCCGGAUGCCCCCGAGAUCAUACAAGCUGCGGCAGCACAGGGAUUGACUGUAACGAGUGCCAGAGAACAAGCGGCCAACUUAGGUAUUACUCUUCGUGAACUGUUAGGCCUUGAUGAGGCGCCAGUGAAGGAGGUAGUAAUUACAUAUGUCAAGAAUGGGCCUCUCGUCGAGCCUGCGAAGGAAAAGGAUCUACCUCCACAAAUGAAAGGUCUGCUGAAAUGGUACAAGGGUUACAUAAAAAAUAAAAACGCCAAAGAAUAUAUUUAUGCGGAAGUUAGACAUGAGCAUCACUUCAAACAUUACUAUGUACAAAUUGAACUGAGUGAAUUGUUCCAGCUUUUCAAUCUGCGCGAGCUCGAUAAAUCUAUCAUCAGUUGCUACGUUCUGUAAGUGAUUUAUUAAUUUCUACCCCAUCUCGUUCAUAUUGCCUGCACUAUAUAUAUGUCCUAACUAUAUUGUUGUGUCCGCUAUUAUACAUGUAGAAUGAAGAUUAAGGAAUGCAGAGUAAGGAACAUCCAUGAUGUUGGGUUCAUUGACCCACACAUCGUUAAUGGACAUGUGUUGGAGCGUUACCCCGCCGACGUGGAGGCAGACCUGUGGCAGUUUCUUACAAAGCAGGAACUCAAAAGUGAUAUUAUAUUUCCUUACCAUUUUGAGUGAGUGUUUCUGUCUUGAGCACAUUCUCUUUUGUUUACUCCAUGCAUGGUAUGUGGCCGGCUAAUCGAUGAGUUAUGCAUGACGUACUGUGCAUGUAUCGUGUCCGCAGGUUCCACUGGAUUCUGCUAGUAAUUAAAGUUAACACCUCAGAAUGUCUCGUCCACGACUCUGUGAAUAUGGAUCCAAAGCUUUGGGGCGGCAUGAGAAGAAUGCUGCAGAAGUAAUUAUUUUCAUUCAUUUGCGCUCUAUAUCGAUCGGCCUAUUUCGUUCAUUUCCUAAUAUCAAGUAACUAAUUAAUAACUCUCUUGUUCAUUUAAUUUUCUUUGCCUCGUAGGGUUUGGAGACGGUUCGUAGAUACAAAGGUCGGUGAAUUCAAAAAAGAGCUAGAAUUCAAAAUGUUAAAGGCUAAGAAUGCUGGGGAUAUUCAGCCACCGGGGACCAAUCUAUGUGGAUACUAUGUCUGUGAGAUGAUCCGGAGAUACACCUCUGAGCGGGUUCCGAGUGAUACCAAUGCUCAGAGGAAUAACCUCCGGUGGAUGCUUAGUCCAGAAGCUCGCUUCCGACCACUUCAAGAGGAACUAGCUGGAUGGUUCAGCAGGGAAGUCCUCCAUCCUAAAGGAGAACACUAUUAUGAGGACGUAGAACUUUAUAUGCAUUAAAUCAUGUAUGGAAACUUGUUCAAAAUUGUAUAUGGUCAUCCGAUGAUAUUGAAUAUAUAUUGUAUAUUCCUCUUGAAUUCUUUUUGGUUCUAAUUUCAAAUUUAUUUGAAAUUGUACAUUCAUAUGCAUGUAUGUAGUACCGUAGAAUAUAUGAAACUCCUUCAAAAUUAAAAUAAAGCACAAAAGAAAUAAAACAAUACAAAUUAAACAGAAAACAGGUUUAAGGGGGGGGGGCUAAAACCCUAAACCUGCGGCGGCCUUUAGUCGCGGUUGGCCAGAAGAACCGCGACUAAAGGUCCUCCGCCCCGACGGCCACCUGGCGCCCACGUGGACGGGCCUUUAGUCGCGGUUCUUAAGCAACCGCGACUAAAGGGGGGGGCCUUUAGUCGCGCCCGUUCGGUCGCGGUUGUGCAACCGCGACUAAUGGCAGUUGCGAACCGCGACCAAAGGCCCUUUUUCCACCAGUGAGAUGUGCCCGCCGAGAAGCUGCAAACUCGUACCAAGAAAAAUGAUCACAGUUGCUAGAGCCGUAAGUAAACAAAGAACACUCUUAACAAAAUAGUGUACCAAAAUUUGCAAUAAAUCAAAUGUGGUCAACCAACCAGAGGGCGAUUUUAAUGGUAUAAACACGAUGUCAAGACUCAAGACUAACUAGGGGGAACAUGCGGCGUCAAUCGAGGUGACGAAUAAACAUCACCAGUUCAGUUAGCAUGAGACGUAGGUGUAGAGCACUCAUCUUGGCUGUUAAGAGACAACAAAAGAGAGAGGUUAACUAUAAGUCUAUCGAGUAGCAAUUGACAUUUUAGUUGAUAGCCAAGACUAAAUGGCCUACAUGAUCUCUCUACUACCCAAAAUCUUAAAUUAUCACCAAAUUAAUACUGUUAGCUAAGGAUGGAAAAGACUAAGCAGACAUUAAGCUACAGAAUCGUCUCCUGGAUUGUUAUGAGCAUAAGAACCUGCUUUCUUUGCGAUUUCAAAUCUGUUUUUUUGUUGUGGCAAUACAAUUCUAAGGCCGUAAAUAAAAAAUAGUAUACUAUUGUCUGGUCAAUUUAAGACCUAUACUGAAUAGGUUGAAGUUCUGUCCGUACUACAAAUCUCCAUUUUUUGGGAAGCAGCAAACUUGGAAUCGCCAAUGUAGAUUCAAACAGGAAGACAAUUGCAUAUUUGACUUUCAUAAAAGCACUUCCUUAUUUUGACCAUUUAUAUAUAUAUAUCAAGUAUAUACACCAUCGACUCAAUUGCGGUCUUCUUUAAUCUCUAACUGAACCAAAUAAUAAAAGCUUAAGCUUAAGCAUCCAAACACAGAAAAUGCAAAACGAAUCUCACAUAAAACUGGCCCAAGUCAGAUACAGGGGAAACCAAGGUGAGAUGAUCAUGUUUCUUAUAGGAAACAAUAACCAUAGGUAAAUACAUACAUUAUCCUCCUGUCAGAAGGUACUUAGUUGUACUUCAAGUGGUACUGGGACAUGAAACUAAGCCAUUGAAAUUUUUGAAACAGAAUAGAUGAUAACACCAGUGUAGGCCAUGAACAAAAAUACAAGGAAGAACAUAAUCAAGCAUAACCCACCUCGACCGAAGAAACGGUUGAUCAACAGCAGGAACCUGAACCUCGUGAUGCUAGACCAUAUAUCUAUGGUUACCCUUUUUAUUUCCCCCGCCUAACCAGAAGUAGUUAUCUGGACAAAAUAGGGAGGCACACUUCAACAAAUCAGUUCUUAGUAAUUAUAGAAUGCUCGUAUUAAAGGAAGUAAAAUCAAGCAUGUAUGUGCUCUAACUUUCAUAACUGCUACUAAACUCAGUAACUAACUUUACAUACCAAAGUGUACAAUUCUCAAGUCAUCUUAAGCCAACAAUGCCUUUUAGUAGAGACAUAUCCAUGAUAGAUGAGAAAUGCAAAUAAUUUUGUCACACAUCAUAGCUGAAAAGUUCUAUGCUACAAUUAAUAAGCAAAUCAACUUCCAAUAAGUAUGCAAAGAUGCAAUGGCCAGGAGCUAAUUUCAUUAAUAUUGUAAUAUACUUAUGUAAAGAAAGAACCUCAUCAACAUUGUAUUUUGAUUCCUGCAGUCGUUCACUCCAGAAAUUAAGGUCUCAGUGUGCUAGAUCAUUGGCUUCUGCAGAACCAAAAAUCUUUCACAAAGGCUUUUAGAUCUUCCAUAUCUGCAUUAAGAAAAGCAACAACUAAGACAUAUGUAUAUUUUAGCAUAGUUCCUAGCCUUCAUCGUAAAGACUAUGAGAAAAAUAAUUGAUGAAGGAGAUAUAAUGCUGAUGGAUAGGCCAAGCGACCAAGGCACGCCGGUUGCUUGUAUCCAGCCGCAGGCUGCCGAUCCAGCACACACGCCAACGACUGUGCGUGUGUCUGAUCCAGCGUUGUGCUUAUGUCAAAGGUCCGCCGGGCUGACCGGCGCUCCCCGCACCACAGGUACGCCCAAGAACCAUCUCAGCAUGACUAUCCAUUUCUAUUCCCAUGCUUGCUCAUGCGUGUGUCCGCUCAUACUUGUUAUGUGCAUAUAUGUUGGAUUGCUGUUGUUGGGCGCUGGGUGCUGGGCUGCUUAUGGUCUCAGUGGUGACCUUAUGGCUCGUGACGCCGCCAUUUCACAUCAUCAAUCCCCAACUCCAGGUCUGGAUUCCCACAACCUAUACCUCAUAUGGGUGAGUAACAAGAAUUACUCUUUGCAUAUGUAUACAACAAGAGGUGCUUUGACAGAUUCUGAAGCACACAUCCAUCGAUCUAUCCAUCCAUCCACAGAUCCAUCAAUUCCUAAAUCUAUACAUGAAAAAAAUAAGAACAGAGAGGGGGGCCGGUGCUCACCGUGGGUGGGGAGGAGGGGCCGAGGUGGAGCUGGAGCUGCAGCUGGUGCCUGGCUUCGAUGGCCAUCAGAGGAGGCGGCAGCGUAGGCGGAGACGGGCAAAGGUGCUGCCAACAGCGACCGCGGCCAUAGGUGGUGCCAGGCGGCGGCGGCCCUAGAGCUCGACCGGGGAGGGAGCACCAUUGGAGGAGGGGUGGGGGAGUUGGAGGAGGGGAGUGGGUGCAGCAGCUAGCCUCCGCACCCGGGGCGGACGAGAUGCGGGGGGUGGGAGGGGGGAGGGGCGGAGGAGGAGGGGGCGACAAUGGGAGGAGAAGGAGGAGGGGCGACGAGGACGGGGAAGGAGAAGAAGGAGGGGCGACGAGGAGGGGGAGGCGAGUGGGACGGGAGGCGGCGGCGGCGGCUAGGGCUUCUCCACGGGCGGGCUGUUUUUAUACCCAAAGGUGAAAAGACUAAAAUGCCCCUGGCGGGGCACGGAAUUUACAGGCGGUGGCAUGCUACUGUUCACAGUGAUUUAAAGGCGACGUGGCCACCUCCAUCCUGCCUAGCGGUUCUCCAGGGUUUAUAGGUUAAAUUUAGUACUCAUGAAACGCUACGACAUUCCAUUGCAGUAUUUACUCACCUCGGUCUACUAUCAAGAACAUUACUGAUGGUUUCUCUCUUUUUACCCAUACAUUCAAGUAACCUACUCAAAAGGAGGCCGCUAUGUCAUGGCCACUUUAUCCCCCCUCACGCAUCGGUGCAACCUUGUAAUUCUUGCCAUGUAUUGGCGACUUAGAGUAAUAUUCAAGUGGGGACCCCCCCCCUGAUUGUUCAAAAAAGGUGGCUAACUAGCUAAUGGCAUGUUAAUAAUUCAUGACUACUACUAUAUACUAUAAGUUUAUUAUAUACCUUGGAAGCCGCAUUGGUGAUGGUGACGGUGCGGGUUGCGGUGGACGGGUUGGAUGUGAGCUGCUUGUUUCUCUCAAGCCUAUACUCAUGCAUGAUCCAGUUGGUCUUCUCCCCCCUAGGCGCCCUGCCCUUGUAGAAGAUGAGCAUCUUCUUCAUGCCGAUGAGUGUGAGCGGUGGGUGGAAGAUCUCCUUGUCCUUUCCGGUGGCCUUCCAAUAGCCAGCAUUCGUCGCCCGGUUCGUUCGUAUCCUGGUGGGGUACUUGCGAUCCUUUCGGCAGUAAAAGUACCACUCCUUCUCCCCCAUCUUCGCCUUCUCCGGUAGCUCCCAUGGCUCGUACUUGUUGAGGUUCACAUCCUCAAUUGCCGCAGCGACGAAGGCUUCAUCGAGCACCUUGGGGACCACAUCGAAUUUUAUGAUCUCCUCAUCCGUCGGGUGGAACCUAAACCCCGGCGGUAGCUCCAACUUCUGUUGCUGAACUUGAAGGUGGUCUGUCAUGGUGGAGGCAUUCUCUGCAAUGGAUUCUAGGGUGAUGGCAAUAUUGGAGGCAAUCAUAAAUAUGUAAGUAACGAUGGAAGGAAUUUAAUAAGCUAAGGAUAUCCAUGGAGGCGCUUAAAUAGGAGUAAGUGCGUGUACUAGCAAGGCGCUUGCUAGAGAAGUCUCGAGAUUUUUUUUUCCUUUUUUAAAUUUUGUAUCUAGUGGCACUCACUAUGGAUGGAUAGAUAGAUAGAUUGCUUCCUCAUCUUUACAACUAUGCAUUGUUUGGCCUGUUGGAGGUGCCACACCCUUGUGGUGACAAGUAGCUAGGUUUCUCCAACCUCUCCAAGCCAUGACAUGCCAGAUUUAAUACUUGGUUUUGUUCUCAUUCUUUUUAAUGUUUGCAUAUGUGCUCUUCGUGCUACCCCUGAUCGUGCCAUAUGCAUGCUUUUGUUUCUGGUGUUUGGGUUUGUGAUGCAAGGCAAACAAACACUCACAUUUGUCUCGCCAGCUGGAUGUGCAUAUAUAUCACCAUCGCUCUUUUCUGUGAUAUUUGAUCUAGAUGUAUCUACCUAUAAAUACUACCACAUGUUUACACAAAAACUGGGUGCGUUUCUUAAGUCUACGGCCCCUAGAUUGAUUGGUACACCCAGCCAUAGUUCGCCAUUAAUUUCUAGCAAUACAUGGCAGGAUAAUUCUCAAUGCCGUGGUGCCUAUGGGUGUCGAACACAUCCAGGGUCACAUUGCUCCUGCAGGCACGCAUGUAGCGUGCGCGGCCCUGGCAGAUCUUUAUCUUAUGCUGCAUAAAACCAUGGCCUUUUGUAUCUGUUACCACCGGGAGAGGGGAAGAGUGCUUCAUGGAUACGCAUGAUUUGUCCGGAGAUAAUCAUCCAUUACAAGUUUUUUAUCUGCUUUCCAGGGUGUCUUGUACUGGUGUGUACACAAAUGCGUGCCACACAUCCCACAUACUUUGCCUUUUCUAGAAAACCUGGCGCGGGAUAUAUGGAUCAACCCUGCAAUCAAGGUGUACAUGACUAUGUGCUUAUCAACUGGAUGCUUGGCCACAUCCCAACCUUGCAUGCAUCUCCUCGUGCCCAGGCAGUUUCUAAAAUUAAUGAUCAAGAGACUUUUAUAUGGGUUAAAAUUUUGCAUCUAAAAGUAUCACGACCUUCUCAUCAGAAGCUCUGUAAGAAUAAGAAGGGAUUGCUUUUAGAAUGUUUGAUCAGGAAAGUAAAUAGUGAUGAUGUCAUUUUGGUAUUAUUUACUAUCGACUCCACAUUUCAUAAAAUUGUACCAUGUUUACUAAGCUCGGCUUCUGCUUGGGGACAAGUGAAGUCUAAGCUUCGGGGAGCUGAUACGUCCAUUUUCAUCACUAUUUCUUAUUAUAAUUUACUCUUUAUCAAUGAUAUUUUGCACAUUAAUGCGCAAUUCUAAUGCCUUUCCCCCUUCAAUCUGCAUGUAACACAUGCAGAGGGAAAUUCUUAGUAAUUCACCAGACAACUGAAAACAUGGUCCAAAUAAAGUACAGAAAAAGUAUUUUUUUUCAAGAGCUCCAAAAGGCCUGAAAAGUUUAUUGAUUUUUUCCUGAAGAAAUAGAGCCAUAGGCCAGAAGAUGGGAGGCAGAAAAAAAAUUAAGUUUAUUGAUCUUUAGUACUGACAAAAUCAAUUUGAAUAACCACACACACUCUUGUGCCUAUCGAUUUAGUUAUUUCGGAGGUAUCUUCAGAAAACGCGUUUGAGUUGCUCUGGAAAUUUUGCUCUAAGGAGACACACCCAUCACCAUAAGAUUGCUCAUAAACUACUACUUGUUGGGGAUAGGAGGAAGACAAAAGAUACUCGAUGUGCACCAGAUUCUAAAGCACUCUGUGAGUCAAAACAACGAGUUAAUAAAAAAGAAGAUAUAUUAGCGAUAAUUUGUCAAUUUGGCAUUUUUAUAAACAAGCAGGAUCAAUCAUCAGCAUUGUAUCAGUAGCAUCUCAAAUAUGUGAUGGACAAUAUCAACUCAUAACGAAAUACAUUGUAAGGACUAGGUAAGAACAAUGCAAAAACAGACGUAUAUUAAUGUGCUUUCGCUUAUUUUGGCUGCAACACAAGAAAUUAGACGACAUUUAUUAUUGAUGAGAUCACAUACGAUAUGAUGGCUCGUUAUCUCGAAGGCCUGAUGCGCAGGAGUGAUUCCACAUAUGGCACCGUGUAGUGGGCAACAAAGAGCGCACCAAUGUUGAUUUUUCUGCCGUUCCGGAGAUCAUACAGCAUGUCACGUGGCAUGUUGAUUAUUUCUUCAAGGGAUCCGUCACGGAGAUCACACCGGAGAAGGAUGCACGCAUCAACGGAGAUGAAUAUCUUGUCCCGGUCAGUCGAGGCGCAAGCAAAGGCAAGAAGCAUUCUUGGUAUCGGCAGGCAGACUCGGCGGCAUAGUGACCAAGCCAGAUUUGGUCCAUCCUCCGCCAACCAAAUGGAAAUGUCCCACGGUGAGGUAGAGUGGAUAUAGCAUAACUUUUCACCUAGCGCACAUAGUGAAUCGUUCCUGCCUAGAAUAUCGCUGCAUGGAGGGUUAGGGUGCACCGUAAAUGUUUCAUCAAGUAAACUGAAUCGAAGGAUGACGUUCGAGAUAACCUUUGCAGGUAGUAGCAUGGACUUGAGAGCACUCCAAAAGAAGGCCCCCGGGAGACAAAUCGGGGUCCUGGCCUUGAUAGGGUACGGCGGAUCCACGGUGGCCUUCCAUACCCAAGCUGCUUGUUCCUUGCCGACGUCGCCACCGAAUGUCAACAUCUCAUGUCCGCAGCUGUAUUCUCUACUCGUGGUGGUGGUGGUGCCUCCUUCUUCCACAUCCAUUUGUGGAAUAUCUCUGUAGGAGCGGAUGAAGUGCCUGGCCACCUUGUAGGUACCACUCCAGGGAUCAAAGCCAAAGGCCACCCUGUGUUCAUGGAGAAGGCUGGGGCUUCCAGGUGGCAACUCAACAAACUCUCCAGUGGCCGGGUUGCAGAUGAAAAUUGUCCCCAUUAAGGCAGGGAUCAAGAUGAGGCCGUCGCAGUGGAGAGGAAUGCUGAACGCCGGGAUCCCAUGCGGCUGAAACUCCUUUCGGACCAUCAGCUCGGCGCACUUGCUUUCGCCUGGCUGGAAGCUGAAGACGUUGAGGAAUCGAGAGGCCUGGUACUUGCGCGGCACCACGACCAUGGUCGACCUUGAGAGCUCCAGGUGCCUGCGGACGAAAGGGGUGCUGGUUAAUGUGGCGCGCCAUGACUUGCACACGGCUUGGAAGCGCAGGAGGGACUUGACCGGAAGAAGUACCAGUAUCUCGAAGAAGAUUAUUUCAUCGGGGAUGAAGCUGCUACUGCUACUGCCGGAGGGUAAAGGCAGUGCUGAUUCCGGCGACGACUUCCAGCCUCUCCGGCAGGGUCGUUUAGAAAUCGGGGGCUUCAUCAUAUCGUUAUCGCUAUUUCCAAUCAACAUGAAUCGACCGUGCCUGCGUUUUCGCUCGUACGUAGGCAUAUAUAUAUAUAUAUAAAUAGUGGUCAAAUAAGAGCGCCUAAUAAUUAAUAAUCCGACUCGACUUGGAAUUUUUAUCAGAAACAAAACCGGACUCCUAACAAGACAAAGCACAAACGAGUCGAUAUCGUAACGAAUAAGCACCUGGAAAAGAAAACCUUUUGCUUAGCUAAUUGGACUUGAAUAAAUGUAUCCUAGGAAAAAUAAUAAUUGAAAUUCAGUUUUGUCAAUUCUCUUCUAGAUGAGAAAUAAUGAUUUUUUUAACAUAGUAAAGACGCAUACGCUCAUACAUAGCCAUAUACACUCACCCCUAUGAACGCACGACGCAAUCCCUGUCCCUAUGAGCACAUUCGAGAGGCUGAGCCACCACAUCAUCUUUGAGAUUAAUGAAGUUAUCACUGCCGCCUCCAUAGUUAGACAGGAAUGCCUCCUCCCGCUGGACGAAUAUUGAAAGUCUUAAAUGAAGUUAUCACUGCCGACUCCAUAGUUAGACAGGAAUGCCUCCUCCCGCUGGACGAAUAUUGAAAGUCUCAAAUGAAGUUAUCACUGCCGCCUCCAUAGUUAGACAGGAAUACCAGUGCCAAGACCUUGGUGGGCUGGUUUCACCAUAAAAACCUAAUCAUCUGAUCUAGGCUCAGUUUGCCUAGAGCAUUGUUGGGUUUUUGUUUCUUUCCUAGGAGAUAAUCACCUUUGUGUGUGGGCUGUUGUAUCACCCCUGCGACAUGCAACUAAGCCCGACCUUUUUGUCCUAUCUGCAAAUCCACACUCGACACACAAUCGAGGCCUGAUUGUUUUUUUGCCUGUUCAAAUGCACCCUCGACACACAAUUUGGCGUCGAGGGUUUGUCCCAGUUGCAAGUGCACCCUCGACACACAACUUGCCCCAAUCCUUUGCCCUAGUUGCAACUUCAUCCUUGACACACAAUUGGACCUUGACCCUUCGUCACAGUUGCAAGUACAUACUUGACUUGCAACCGGCCCUUGACCCCCUUUGCCCCAGUUGCAAGUUCACCCUGAAAAUGCAACUGGCCCUCGAACCCUUUGUUCAAGUUGAAUAUCCACUCUCGACAUACAACUUUCCAGACCCUGAUCUAGUUGCACGUCCAUCCUCGAUAUAUAACUCGCCUUCUUGCCCCCGACACCUACGGAAUUGCAUGUCCACCUUCGAAAUGUAUAGUCGUUGGAACCAUUUCCAUGUCAGUUGCAUGUCCACCCUAGACCCCCCAACUCGACAAUUUCCGACCAAGUUGCAUGUGCACACUCGACACACAACUUUCCCGACCUUAUUGCAUAUGUCCACCCAUGACAAGCAACUCUCCUAACCCAGUUGUAUGUCGACCAUCAAUACGCAACUCGUCUCGACCUGAUCUAGUUGGAUGUCCAUCAUAGACACAUAACUUGCCCUGACCCCGACAUAAUACCAUGUCUACCCUCGACACCAAACUUGUCUAACCUAGUUGCAUGUACACACCUGACACACAACUCGCCCUGACUCAAUUUCAUGUCUACCCUCAGCUUUAAAUUUUCUUUCAUGAUUUUUCCCCCACCAUGCAAUUUUUUGUAUUUCAAAAAUGGUCACCAUGUUCUAAAAAAUUGUUUGUCGUGUAUUUAUUAAAUGUCCAUCAUAUAAUUUACCAUCUCAUUUGACCCAAAAAUUCAUUUAUGGUUCACAGUCAUGUCGCAUAACCAAGAUCUCACCUUAAUCCGGCCUCGUGGUGAUCCAAUCUUCCAAAAAAACUUCAACGAGAAACAAGGUGAGAUUUGGAAAAAUCUACGGGGAAGCGGAAGAGAGGAGAAAAUUGGUUGGGUGGAAAGGGGUGGAGGAGGAGGUGGUUCGGUGGGGAAGGAGNNNNNNNNNNNNNNNNNNNNNNNNNNNNNNNNNNNNNNNNNNNNNNNNNNNNNNNNNNNNNNNNNNNNNNNNNNNNNNNNNNNNNNNNNNNNNNNNNNNNNNNNNNNNNNNNNNNNNNNNNNNNNNNNNNNNNNNNNNNNNNNNNNNNNNNNNNNNNNNNNNNNNNNNNNNNNNNNNNNNNNNNNNNNNNNNNNNNNNNNNNNNNNNNNNNNNNNNNNNNNNNNNNNNNNNNNNNNNNNNNNNNNNNNNNNNNNNNNNNNNNNNNNNNNNNNNNNNNNNNNNNNNNNNNNNNNNNNNNNNNNNNNNNNNNNNNNNNNNNNNNNNNNNNNNNNNNNNNNNNNNNNNNNNNNNNNNNNNNNNNNNNNNNNNNNNNNNNNNNNNNNNNNNNNNNNNNNNNNNNNNNNNNNNNNNNNNNNNNNNNNNNNNNNNNNNNNNNNNNNNNNNNNNNNNNNNNNNNNNNNNNNNNNNNNNNNNNNNNNNNNNNNNNNNNNNAAGGGAGGAGGAGGAGCGGUGGUCGACAGAAAGCUCCAUGCCAUGACGGUCAUGGAAGAGGUGAGAUCUCACAUCAAUAGUUGGGAAGGAGAUGCGGCAGCGGGUACGCCGGUGCUGAUGUAGGAGGACGAGGAUGCCGGCUGACGGGAGUAGCUCACUUGGGUGCCAGUAUCGAUGGCCUCCCCUAGGUCGCCGCCUCCUAUUCCCAAUUUAGGCUUCAAUGAGGCCAAAUCAAAUCGAUCAAGUGAGAGACCUCUGAAAUUUUGGGACGGGUGUACAUAGCUUCAUGGGAACGCUGACGGGCGACGAGGAUUGCACGUCACAACUAAUAACUUAUAAGUAGGGGAUGAUACAAAAGGCCUACUAGUGUUAUGUUUUCCAUGUUUUAUGUGAUCUUAUUUUUUUGGUUGUUCUUCGCGUACACUUCCCCUUCAAACUUUUUCCAUGUUCAAUGCACACCAUUCAAAGUGCCAUGCUCUAAUUUGGCCACCUUUAGAGUUGGUUUGCUAUUUUUAAAGUAUUAGUUGAUUUUUUGGCCACUAAAAAGGGCAAAACGCUCUUCCAUUCAAAAAGACUUUCAAAUGAGCUCGAAAAUGGAUAAAACUUGGCAUGACCUCAUCAUAUGACCCCUAUAUGGUGUGAAUUGUUUUUGAGAUCGUUAUGGAAAAAACUUGAUGCACUUCGUGUACAAACUAAAUAGUCUCCGACGAAGUAUCUGAGUUUGGAAUGGAAACCAUCGCCUAGCACAUAAAACUCUAUUAUUUAAAUUUAUUGCCCUUCAAUCCUUUUCAAUGUUCAAUACACACCAAUCACAAUGUCGUGCUCAAAUUUGAACACCUAGUGAGUUGGUUUCUUUUUUAAGCAUUAAUUGAUUUACUGGCCACUAAAAGUCCAAAAUGCUCUUUUAUUCGAAAUAACAUGCAAAUCAGCUAUGAAGAGUUUGAAACUUGGCACGGGUUCAUGGUAUCGCCCCUAUAGGUUGUGGUACAAAUUUGAUAGCGCUACGCAAAAAACUAGAUGUACUUCAUGUAUAAACUAAACACUCUCCAGUGAACAGAAACAUCCGCCUUCCACAUUGAAAUCCAUUUUAAAAAAUAUUUACCUUUUUCUAUGUUGAAUAUACACUAUUGAAAGCGCAAUGCUGAAGCUUGAGGCUAGUCUAGGUUAAUGAACAUGAUAUAUUCAAGCACUUUCCAUACUUACAAGACUUGUGGCGGGCGCCAGCUGCUCCCUGCCACUGCUAACUUUAGAAUUUUUUGGAGAGUUUGGGCAUGGGUUAGCAAAGUAUUACCAUGGCAGGAAUUUAUCAUGGCCCUCCAUAGAUACGUUGAGAACCAAUGGCUGGCGUGUCACCUGGCCCGCCACAAUAUUGUUUCUAUCCCGUGGCUAAUUCCGUGAAAAUAUAGGAGUGGCGGUGACGAUUAUUGCCCGUCACUACCGAUCAUUUAGCAGUGGCCAGCCCUUUUUUCCACCCACCACUAGAAAUUCCCAAAAUAAUUGUGGCUGGUUCCUGUCCGUUCCCGCCACUAAUGUGACCCCAAGUAGAAGUUUUUUUCCUGUAGUGGCAUGGCAUGUGGGCCAGUAACUUAAAAAAGGAUUGGAAAAUACUACAACCUGAAAAUUUUAGGGGGUGUUUGUUACCAGGGACUUUUUGGUGUAGGGACUAGAAAAAGUCCCUCUUAGAGACUUUUUAACCAAACAUGAGGGACUACUAGGGACUAAAAGUUGCUUUUUGGGACUAAAUGAAGAAAACUCUCAAGGAGAGUCUUUUUUGGGACUUUUUAGGACUUUUCCAACAAUGCCCCUCCCUGCACCCAUCGCCCCGCCGCCCCAUGGUGUUGUUUGGUUGUUAUUUUUUGUAUACUAGGGGUAACAUGGUCAUUUAAUAACCUCUAGGGAGGGACUAGGGACUUUUUAGUCCUUGAAAACAAACAGGGAGGGACUUUUUAGGGACUAGGGACUUUUUAGUUUGGACUAGAAAAAGUCCUAGGACUUAUGAACCAAACAGGGCCUUAUUCUGAGAUGAGACCAGGCCUAUGUCACGUACUAUAUAUGCGAGUGGUUGGCGCAAGCGAGGCGGUUGGCCUUCGCCUAGUGCCUAGGCGGUGCUUAAGUACCCUAGGCAAGCCUAGGCGGUAAUAUAGUUUUGGCAAUCAGGGUGUAUCUGUGAUUAUUAUUUUGUGUAUGGAUAUUAUGGCAUACAUAUAAGUUAACUACCAGGUACUUUCAUUGGAAUAUGGCAUGUUUGGCAUAUCGGUGCAAUAUAGCAUAUCGGUGCAAUAUAAUUUAAUGGAAAACAAUUUAUAAUUAAACAAAGUAGCUUAUUCUAUAUGGGUUUAAAAGAUGCAUGAUGUACACACAUUUACAACACAUGCAUAUGUAGCUAGGUAUACCCCGGUGGGUAGUGCAGAUACAAGCCAAUACACAUAUACACAAUUGAAAAACUAGCACAAGAGUGGCAUGCCAAGCCAUGCCAUGAUUGCAAACUCUCUCAAGGUCACACUAACAAAUAAAAAUGCGGCACAAACCAAUAUACGGGUUGACAUAUAUCAACCGACCGUCUGAUGGAUGAUUAAUUUAUGCACGCACACACACAUAUAUAUGUUGUCUUGGGUUAUCUGAUCAUCAGUUCCGCCAAAUGUCAUCCAUACCCAUGUUCAUCGGCGAGGUCUCGCCAACUGCUGUGGCAGCGGUGUUCCCUGGGUAGUUGUUCCUCAGCCCGGCCACAGCAUCCUCCUGUGACAUCAUCGAUGCCAACCCACUCUCAGGCUGAGCCUCAACCAUAAGACCCUGAUCUGCACCCAUAUGCAUCAUCAUCUGUUGAUGUUGUUGUUGGUGCUGGUAGAGCGGCAGAGGCAGUGUUGGGUUGGCCAUCAUUUGGUGGUGGUGGUUAUUCCUGAUGUAGUGGUAAUUCAUCAUAGGAAGCGCCACACUGCCCAUCAUCGAUGAGCCAGCCCCAACAUCGUGCAACUGGUACGAAGAAGCUCCAGGAAACAGCGGUGCAUGCACACACGUUGACGACAUGUCAUAUUCCAUGAGAGGAGGCAAUGUAUCUAAGUCGACAAAGCCCUGUUGAUGUUCUGCUCCUGUGUACAUUGGCAUGUCAUAUGACAGCGUCACCAUCUUCUUUAGUCUGGUGCUCUUAUGGAAGAUCCUGCAAACCACCCACUGUUCCUACAAACAUACAUAAAUUAAAUAACUACAAAUCAACUGUGUUUUGUAGCAUGCCCCAGGUGUGACGCUAUUGUCGGAGAUGCUGAUCACUUUUUCAUUAGCUGCUCAUAUUUGGCACAUAUCUUGCAUAACUUGGGUAUUUAGGUGCCCCUGUACUAGUGCCCAUCUCAGGAAUUGGCAACAUAGUGACUCCGCUAAGACUCGACUCCAACUUUUGGACUCGGUCAACCUUUCCAUCCUUUGGAGCAUUUAAGACAUAUAUGAAACUCCAUUACAUUCCAUGGUUGCAUUUACUCAUCUUGGCCUACUAGUAUGAACAUUAUCUACGAUUUCUCUCUUUUGACCCAUACGUUCAGCGUACCUACUCAAAAGGAGGUCGCUGUGUCAUGGUGGAUGUACCUCCCCUCAUACAUCGGUGCAACCUUGUAAUUCUUUCCAUGUAUUGGCUACUGCGAGUAAUAUUCAGCUGGGGGUUCUCCCAUCGGAUUGUUCAAAAUAAGUAGCUAACUAGCUCCUAGCAUGUUGAUGAUUCAUGAGUACUACUCUAGUAUAAAUUUAUUAUAUACCUUGGAAGCCAUGUUGGUUCUGGUGACGGUGCGGGUGGUGGUGGAUGGGUUGGAUGUCAGCUUCUUGCUGCUCUCGAGCCUAUAUUCAUGCAUGAUCCAGUUGGUCUUCUCCCCCCUAGGCGCCCGACCCUUGUAGAAGACGAGCGUCUUCUUCAUGCCGAUGAGUGUGAAAGGUGGGUGGAAGAUCUCCUUGUCCUUUCCGGUGGCCUUCCAAUAGCCGGCCUCCGUCGCCCGGUUCGUUCGUAUCCCGGUGGGGUACUUGCGAUCCUUUCGGGAGUAAAAGUACCAUUCCUUCUCCCCCAUCUUCACUUUCUCUGGUAGCUCCCAUGGCUCGUACUUGUUGAGAUUCACAUCCUCAAUCGCCGCGGCAACAAAGGCUUCAUCGAGCACCUUGGGGACCACAUAGAAUUUGAUGAUCUCCUCAUCCGUCGGGUGGAACCUAAACCCCGGCGGUAGUACCAACUGUUUCUGUUGAACUUGAAGGUGGUCUGCCAUGGUGGAGGCUUUAUGUGCAAUGGAUUCUGGGGCGAUGGUAAUAUUGGACACAAUUUAUGAGUAUGGAAGAAAUUAAUGAGCUGGGGAUAUCCUUGGAGACGCUUAAAUAGGAGUUAAUGCGUGUAGUUGCAAGGCGCUUGCAAGAGAAGGCUCAACGUUUCCAGACCUUUAUUUAUUUUUGUAUCUAGUGGCACUGGCUAUGGAUGGAUAGAUAGAUAGAUACCUUCCCCAUCUUUACAACUGUGCGUUAUUUGUCGUGUUGGAGGAUCCACACACUUGUGGUGACAGGUAGAAAGGUUUCUCGAACCUAUCCAAGCGAUGACAUAACAGAUUACAUACGUUGUAUUCGUGUGCUAGCCCUUCUCGUGCCAUAUGCAUGCUUCUCUUGUUGGUGUUUUUGCCUUUGUGAUGCAAACCAAUCAAACACUCACAUUUGUCGCACUAGCUGGUUGCGGAUAUAUAGCAUUGCCCACUGUUUUCUGUGAUGAUUGAUAUAAAUGUAUCUACCUAUAAAUAUUGUAUAGCCCCUGCCACAGGUUUACACAAAAUCUAUGUGCUUUGUGGAAGUCUCUAGCCACUAGAUUGACCGGUACACCCAGCCACAGUUUGCUUAAUUGCUAAUCAUCCAUGUUGUAGUGCCUACGGAUGUCAGCCACAACUAGGGUCACAUUGCUCCUGCAGGCGCACAGCCGUGACCGAUCUCUACCUUCUGCUGCCUAAAACCAUGGCCUUUUGGAUCAAUUACCACUAGGAGAGGGGAAGGGCACUAGUUGUGGAUGAAUUCCCACAUGCAUAGAUGGGACCGAUAUGGUUCAUGCUUUACAUGCAUGCACACACAUACAUGCACUGUAUCUAUACAUACUCACAUCACUGGCAUUUGUCUACAGAUAAUCAUCCGUUGCAUGUCUUUUAUACGCUUUCCAGGGCGUCGUGUACCGGUGCACGCUGGAUAUGUGUGCCACGCAUCACAGCUUCCUCGCCUUUUAUAGAAAACAUAGUGCGGGAUAUAUGGAUCAACCCAACACUCAAGGUGUACACGAUUAUGUGCUUAUCAACUGCAUGCUUGUCCAUAUCCCAACCUUGCAUGCAUCUCCUCGUGGCCAGACUGUUUUUAAAAUUAUUUUAUACUAGUUGAAUGCCAAUGCAUUGUCAAGAAACAACGAAAAAAAAUUUAGAGAUACUUAUCAAACAAUUGUUAUAAUCUAAAAAUGCGUGUCAAACACGAUGACAUGAACUUUGGAUCUAUGAACUUUAUAAUAGCUAGCGGAUCUCGGAAGUUCAUAAGCACAUAUUGGGGUGACUGAUUAUCAUGCUAGCAAGUUCUAUAUGUUUAAUUCCAGUAAGCUUGCUGCCAUGGUUUCAAAUUUAAUUUUCAAUAAACAAGCCUGCUCAUAUUUGUGCCUAAUUUUGACCAUAAGUUCUACCAUGAAAAUAUAAGAUGUGUCACAUCAGUAUUUUCUCACUCGAAUUUUCCUUUCUUAGGAAAUGGUAAUUUUUUUGUAGUUGGCACAAUUGUUUUUUCAGCUUUAAUCUAUAAAUGUGUGACUGCCUACUUUUGCAUCUCUAAACAUGAAAUUGCACAUAAAAUUUGCAAUACGCAACCAAUGGAGUGACCAUGAGAGAAACUUAUAUACCUAAGAGAAUUAUCGCCACUACCUAAUUUGGCUUAGCAUGCAGCCUAUCCACAUCACCACAUAUGCCACCCCAUCAAUUUUUCCCUAUGUUUUCCUUUCCACUAAGAUAGCAGUUCUAUUUCCAAGCAUAAUAGUCGAUCGAUCGCAUGCCCUCCCUCAUUUGAAAUCGGUUCUAGUUCCACCCUCUAAAACAUAUGGCACACUAUCCCAGCUGCAUCGCCUGAUCUUACCACUAAAUUUUCUCUCCAGUUGACAGACCAAGGUCAAUACAUCUCAGCAUGCCACCUAAUCUUGAUUGAGUUGGAGUCACCGUAAUCGAGCUUGCACAUGCAAACUCAUUCCCAUGCUAAGAUGAGCCUUGAUGUUGCGCCGUCGUGCUGCGGCUGGACAGCAACACGUCGUGGUGCCCCGCAUCUGCUUUGCCCAGCUAGCUACCUCCCAUCAUCCACAUUAGUUUUGUCUAGCCGCGGUGCACCCUACACACCCCACCCCGCAUAAUUGCAGUACCACCAACGACUUUUUCUCUAGCAUGGAGCAAAUCGAUCUGGUUGCUAUGGCAAGGGUGGGAGAGGAUGGGCUCUUUGCCUCUAGGCUCUGCUUGCCUCUACUGAACUCUUUUCCAUGUCUGUUAAGUUCGGUCAAUUAGAAUAGAACGUCCUAGCAUCACAUGAAGCUUGUGGGGUUUCAUUGCCAUGUGCAGGCUUAACACAUGUAUCCCAUCGGCAAUGUAAAUGACAUCCUGUAAUGCAUGUCUUUUAGCUAAUUCUAUUUCCCUAAAUUCUUUUACAUCAUUGAAUCUAAAGGUCGUUGGUAUUACUGAUAUAUUCCACUUGAUUCGAACUACUAACAAGUUAACCACUAUAUAUGCGGAUUGCAUAAUCUUUCAUCCUGCAAUUCAUUUAGAUUUUUGAAUUGGACUUUUUUAUAUAAGAUUUGAUUUACACUUCUAGAAGCAGUCCAUCGGUCAAUCUCACUGAAUCCAUUAUACAUCGACCUACCAAUAUUAUGUUGAUUAAAUAUGGCGGAAUGGAUGAAGCAAAAGUAGUUAUUUAAGUUUGGAAAUGCAUCCCAGAUUACCCCUUCAAAGUCAGAAUCCUUGCCACAUCCAUGGUGAUGGGUCAUGCUAUUUUUAGGUUAUGCAACACGAUUUGGUUUUCUUUCCAUUUCCCUUAGACAAACAUUUGAUUGCUAACAUAUGUUUAUGUUUUUUAUGGAUUUUUAAAAAUAGUAUUGAUGUAUAAUUACAUGAUGCCUAACAAGGGAUUGCGAAAUUUUGCGUACGCUAUAAUUUGUUGGUAGCAUGAAUUUUGCCCCCCCCCCAAAAUUAAAACUUUCACUUUACUAUCUUCGUUGCAGGUUAUGCUACAUUACACUCAUCCAGAUGCAAUUCCUUUUCUCACAAUUUGGAACUAUGUUGUUCCCGACAACUGUUAGCAUAAAACCUUGCAAAAAAUAAAAUUGCAUCCAAUAGAUUACCGUAUGGAUGCUCUUCCCAAUAGGUCACCAUAUAACAAAAAAAGUUUUAAGGUAUAGCUAACUCAUUCUUGCUGCCGCCCAAGCUAUGCAUAUGAAUUGCACAUCUACAUUUGGUCCUGGUCUUGUCCCAACUAGUGUUGGUGAGUCACGUGAUGAAUAUCAAUUGCCCAGUGCAUCCACAAUGAUACUUUUGAUUCAUAUGGUUAUGCUUAGUUACAUUGACCUCUGUGCAUCUCCAUCAUUUCUAUUUGUAUGAUGCCAUGACACAUGUAAUUACAAAGUAGGGGAACAUUAGUAUCAUUACAUUUUUUUGAAAAAUUACUGAGCAUAAAUUAAUAAAUUAAUGGAAUGCAUGUACUGAUCUGCUUUGUUCCGGCAGAACCCAUUGGACUGUCUAUGGCAAUGUUCGACUUAAGUCCACAAGGUGAGUUUUACUACAUCUGAUUUUUAUUUUUCAUUUAACCCUAAUAGGAAUGAUGAGCUUUCUAGCACCAAGGCUACAUGAGAGAGGUCAUCAAGUGGAAUGGUUUUGACAUCAACUAACUAGAACACGGGUCAUUUCAUACACAUCUUCAUCUUCUUUGCUGGUAAAAGUAACAAGCUACCGAUGUCACCAUAUUGUGCUUAUGUUAGUACCGUUUCUAUUUGUACCUUUUUUUCACUAUUUUAUAUUGAGAUAUGAUUUGUAAGAUACUCAUUGCUUUAGUUUCCGCAUGUAUUUUGCUAUUUGUAGACCACUAUGUUGCACGCUUCCAUCCUGCAAAGUCUCUAGACCAUUAAUUACUACCUUAGAAGGCAAUUUUUUUACUAUGGCAGGCAAAUAUAUUUGUUCUUACGUACAAAUAUACCUUUGAGUAUGAGGAAGUGGUAUACUACAUCUUUCUAAGUGAUUACAAGUUACUAUACUUUUGGAUAUACACAUUGUUCUGCAAAACAUAAUAACAUUCUAACACCAUAAUUUUCCAUGCAUAUCAAAUUUUCUACAAUGCAAUUUCCACCUCAAUGUAUUGUUCCCAAGCUUGAGAAAAAAAAUUCUUCUGUAUGUAUUGUUCACGUUUGCGACAAGCUUGAACAACCCAAGAUAAGUUUCAUAAUGUCGUCCCAUCUGGAGAUCUUCGUUUCGUCCCAAUUUGUAUACCUUUCUAAUUCAUAUGCUUGAUCCUACCCCAUCCUAUGUUUUUUUUCAACUUAAGGAUGAUUUUUUGAAUUUAAAAAGUUUACUUCCAUGUAAAUUGACAAUCUAUGCAGUAGAAAUUCCUGCAACAACAUGUGGGGUCUCCUUCUAGUUAACCAAGUCUACUUGGACUUGUGAUUGAAACCAUAGCCAACACCUGCAACUACUUACAAUUUAUUAAGAUAAAAUCCAACCAUAGCAUUAAGAUCUAUGCCCCCCCCCAUUAUCCAUAUGUAUCAACUCCUAUAUUUAAGUAUGGUACUCCCUCCAUUUUUAUAUAUGAGGCCACAAACUCAUAUUACAGGUACCAAGGUAAAAUUUAAUGUGUGCUUUGCAAGUCAACUUUUCUUUUAGCUUACUGGGAUAACUAGCGGUGUGACCCGCGCAUUUUCGCGGCUAGAUUCAGCUAUUACAUAUUUCAUUAUGUCUUUUAUUACAUCAACAUCAUAUAGAUAGAAAAUAGCGGAACUAAAUUAUGCAUGAUAUCGCAUAUUCAAUACUUUUUAUUCAGUUAUUUUUGGCCAUUAGUACUUCUAAUUCAUUAUCGGUGAAGUUCCUUUAGUUUAUUGCUACACAACUGUCUCUUAUCAGAAAGUUCUACUAAGAACACUACUUUAUUGUUAAGUUCUGGUCUUUAACAAUGAAAGAUCAAGGGUUGAUGACACACUAUGCGAAACUAUAGCUUUUCUAACAAUUUGUUCAAUUCUGGUCUUUACCAUCAUUUUUUAAUAACUUCACCGAUUAUGAGUUAAAACUAUUCGCGGCACCUCUCUCUCUCUAUAUAUAUAUAUAUAUAAGUACAUACUUGGUGUUAAUCUACUUGGUCCACUUGUCAUAAAAAUUACUAAAAUAUUUUUAUUUUGCUCACUUGGGCAAUCUCAUCAUAACAUGUUUCUCUUUCUGAAUGUGUCCAUAUUUUUUAGCGGAGGAAGCCCUUAUGACGAGUUAUUUAAAUAAUAACAACCCAACUUUACAUCCACGAGGACAUAAACCCACGUAGUGUGGUUGUGCAUCCAUUUCUCCAACCAUGUGUGCUUACUCACAUCUUGACCGUUCACAUGUUUUUUCUAUAUUGACUUGUGUAUCAUUUAUUUCUUUUAGAUGACUUGUUGCUUAAGAAUUUAUUGUCCAAGUGACAAUAUUUAUACAACAUAUACUCACUUAAAAAAUAUCACAGUGAUAUAGCAUUUGUUUUACCUUGCCUUGAAAAUUUCUUGUCCUAGAUUUGUACAUUCAUAUAUUAUUGAACUCUCACGAUUAUCACUCUUCUCCAUCUUUUCUACCCGGCGUGGACACGCCAAGUGAUCUCUGCUGCAUGAAUCCAUGGGCUCGUUGUUAUGUGUCAUCAACCAGUUUCAUACUACUGAAUAUAUGCACGAUGAUACUAUUAGAGCAAACUACAUUUUAAAGUAACACAUGGACGUUGAUGCAUCUCAGUUAGAGGCAUGUUAGUUAACACUGGUUCCCCAUCACUACAUAUUCAAUUCUAUAACAAUGAAUCAAAGUGCACUUUUCUUCUUUUUAUUAAAAAACUAUAAACAUGAUAUUAUAAACUUAAUUAGCUAUUUUUUUACGCCACAGGAGUACGUAUAAAAAUAGUUAUAUUCCUCUAUUUAUUGUACAUAUGGAUAUAUAAAAUAGAUUUCUCUUAAAUAUAAUUUGUAAUUAAUGUAUGAAGAUAAUCCCUAAAUGUAUUUUUUAUGUACUAUGCGCAAAGAUAAAUUUGUGCCUAAAGCAGAGUUGUAUUAUUUCUGAUUUACAGAUUUGCAAAAUAAUCAAGAUAUAACAUAUUGCUCAAUUAUCAAUAGGUUUUCUCAGUUAUAUCUAAUGGAUAAAUUCAUAUAUUUUUGUCCAUGGCUAUUUUUUAAUCUUUAUUAUUUGGUGUAGCUACAUCCUCGCCUCAAGGCCAGUGGGCUGAAAGGGGAGAUAUCUUGAAGGCAUGGGUGGAGCGUCGUGUGCUCCCACUGCAAGCAUGGUCGACCCUGAUUUAUGAGUAUACAGGGCCAGAGCGCAGAUGUAGCAGCAAGCAGGGAUUCUCUUUUGAGAGGAGAGCUCAGAGGCGGAGUGAUAUGUGUCCAACGUGUCUAUAAUUUAUGAAAUAUUCAUGCCAUGUUUACAAUAGUUUUAUAUGGUUUUGGUGCACUUCUAUACUAUUAUUUUGAUGGACUAACUUAUUAAUCUAGUGCCCAUUGUCAGUUCCUGUUUUUUUUGCAUGUUUUUUAUUUCAUAGAAAAAACAUGCCAAACGAAGUCCAAAUGCUAUAAAAUUUACGGAGAUUUUUUUGAAGUGCAUAUAUAUGUGUGUGUGUGUGUGUGUGUGUGAUUUUUGGAAAAAAAAAUCAACGCAAGACGGUACCCAAGAGCCCCACAAGACAACAGGGUGCCCCUACCCCCCUAGGCGCACCCUGAUGUCUUGUGGGCACAUCAUAGGUUGGUUGGAGCCCUUCUUUUGCCGCAUGAAAGAUAACUUCUGGAUAAAAAUCUCCUCAAAAUUUCAGCCCAAUUGGAGUUACAAAUCUUCGGGAAUAUAAGAAAUGGUGAAUGGCUGCGAAAACAGUCGCGGAAAACAAAAGACAACAGAGAUCCAAUGUAGGGCAGAGCUCCCUUUCUCAUCAGAGGGACAAGGAAGAAGGAGUGGGCUUCCCUCUCUCCUCCGGUGGCGAUGGGACGCCGCCGAGGACAUCUCCUCCAUCAGCAUCACCACCAACUUAUUCUCCGUUCUCAUGGUGAUGUGUGAGUAGUUCAUCCUCGAGGCUGAGGGUAUGUACUGCUACUUCUUGAGUUUGCGUUGGUUUUUCCCUUGAAGAGGAAAGGGUGAUGCGGCAAAGUAGAGUAAGUAUUUCCCUCAGUUUUGAGAACCAAGGUAUCAAUCUAGUAGGAGACAACGCACAAGCCACCGAAUAUCUGCACAAACAAACACCAACUUGCACCCAACGCGAUAAAGGGGUUGUCAAUCCCUUCACGGUUACUUGCAAAGUGAGAUCUGAUAGAGAUAGAUAAAUGGUAAAGUAAAUAUUUCUGAUAUUUUUGGUUUAUAGAUCGGAAAGUAAAAUACUGCAAAGAAAGUAAAUAGGAAACUGAUAUUGUAGAUCGGAAAAUUAUAUGAUGGAAAUUAGACCCGGGGGCUAUAGGUUUCAUUAGAGGCUUCUCUCAAGAUAGAAAAUAUUGUGAUGGAUGAACAAAUUACUGCCAAGCAAUUGAUUGAAAAGUGCAAAUUUAUGAUGAUAUCUAAGGCAAUGAUCAUGAAUAUAGGGAUCACGUCCGUGUCAAGUAGACCGACUCCUGCCUGCAUCUACUACUAUUACUCCACACAUCGACCGCUAUCCAGUAUGCAUCUAGAGUAUUAAGUUCAUAAAGAACGGAGUAACGCAUUAAGCAAGAUGACAUGAUGUAGAGGAAUAAACUCAAGCAAUAUGAUGAAACCUCAUCUUUUUAUCCUCGAUGGCAACAAUAUAAUACGUGCCUUGCUGCCUCUACUGUCACUGGGAAAGGACACCACAAGAUUAAACCCAAAGCUAAGCACUUCUCCCAUUGCAAGAAAAACCAAUCUAGUUGACCAAACCAAAUUGAUAGUUCGAAGAGACUUACAAAGAUACCAAAUCAUGCAUAAAAGAAUUCAGAGAAGAUUCAAAUAAUAUUCAUAGAUAAGCUGAUCAUAAAUCCACAAUUCAUCGGAUCUCAGCAAACACACCGCAAAAAAGUAUUACAUUGAAUAGAUCUCCAAGAACAUCAAGGAGAACAUGGUAUUGAGAAUCGAAGAGAGAGAAGAAGCCAUCUAGCUACUAGCUAUGGACCCGUAGGUCUGUGGUAAACUACUCACGCUUUAUUGAAAGGGCAAUAGAGUUGAUGUAGAAGCCCUCCGUGAUCGAAUCCCCCUCUGGUAGGACGCCAGAAAAGGCCCCUAGAUGGGAUCUCACAGGUACAGAGGGUUGCGAUGAUGGAAAAGUGUUUUCGUGGGUGCCUAUGGUGGUUUGGGCAUAUAAGAGUAUAUAUAGGCGAAAGAAUUAGGUUAGGAGGAGCACGAGGGGCCCACAAGGGUGGGGGCGCGCCCUACCCCCCUGGGCACUCCCUCCGUCCUAGUGGCUGCCUUGUGGCUCCUCCGACUUCAUCUCCAGGUCUCCUGGUUUCCUUCUGGUCCAAGAAAAAUCAUCAUGAAAGUUUUAUUCCGUUUGGACUCCGUUUGGUAUUCCUUUUCUGCAAAACUCAAAAACAAGGAAAAAACAGGAACUAGCACUGGGCUCUAGGUUAAUAGGUUAGUCCUAAAAAUAAUAUAAAAUAGCAUAUUAAUGCAUAUAAAACAUCCAAAACAGAUAAUAUAUAAUAGCAUGGAACAAUCAAAAAUUAUAGAUACUGUAACAUCCCAAAAUUCUAAAUUUUGGAAUGUUAUAUUAAAUAAAUAGUUUUGAUUGUUUGUUUGAUUGUGGUGUGGUUGUUUGUGUGAAAUUGAGUGAAAUGUGAAUCUUUUUGAAAGUUAAAUGAACUAGAGUCGUCAACCCGUGCAUUCGCACGGGCUAGUCAAUAAGUUUGAUGCAUUUGUUUUGGCAUAAAUAAUAACUAUCAUGGAAGGAAAAAAGUGAAACACCCAUCCAUCCACUUCACCCUGAAGCACAUGUACGGUGUCUCAAUUUUUUAUUUUUUAUUAGUUCAAUUCUAAGUUUCAAAAUAUGAUUAGAAGAAUGUCUUAUAACUCUUAGGAUUUUAUUUUGUUUUUCUUUAAUUAACCUCUUGCUUCUUUGUAUACCAUAUAUGUGCCCGACAAAAUAAUUAUAAUUUAUUUUUGUGAUGCUUAUGUUUUUUUCAGUGUCAAAGUCAUGACAUACUAUAGAAAUUUGAAGCAAGUCAAUAUGGAGACAAAAGAAGAGAAGAUUUAUUGGAAAUAUAUAUGAGGAUAUCUAAUUUGGUUAAUCCAUGACAUUGUUUCCCAUUGGACCCUAGAAGCAUGACAUAUUGCAUUUAUGCAUUUCUAAGGAUAUAAUAAGCGUGUCAGCUAAAUUAAGUGGAUACAUUUAAUCAUUUAUAUGUUUAAUUAGCAGUGAGUAUAUUAUAUCAAAAUUAUUAUUUAGCUGGAUUACAUGUGUAAAAGUAAAUUUGGUUUCUUAGGGCAGAAGUAGAUUAACUCGUAAUAGAAAAACAAAAUCAUAAGAUUCUCCGUCGUGUUUGGUGAAUUUUUUUAACUUUUAUUGUGUCUAAGUUAAUAAUGAGUUAGAAGGAUAUAAAUAGGUUCAUAUUGGAGGGAAUUGGGGGUUGGGUAUUAUGUCAUCUAACCAUUUGGUACUUUGGUGAGCUGCCACUAAGAAGAACAAAGCUUUAGGGGCCACUUUAAUGGGUUCAUGGUAUGAACAUGGAUUUACUGUAGAAAAGUGGUCUACUUAUUGGUAAGAAAGAAUGUCAACUACUUGUUAGCCAAGUAGUUAUACUACGCAAAAUGUUGUUUCACAUAUAUCUAUAUAUGAAUUAUAUCAUUGUUCUAGUUACCACAUAAUUUAUUUAGUACACAAAAAGGGUAUUUCAUAUGAUGUUUUCUGAACUGUGAGUUGUAGUUGCGUAAGAUGUUCACAGGCGUACCUGAAAGUCAAAUACUGCUUGUGGAUGAAUGUAAUAUAUAUGUGCAUUUAUAACUUCAUAUAGGCUCGGAAUGCUUUAUAUCGUGUACUCCCUCCGUAAACUAAUAUAAGAGCGUUUAGAUCACUACUUUAGUAAUCUAAAUGCUCUUAUAUUAGUUUACAGAGGGAGUAACAAUUUGAGCUAAAGAGCGCUAUGGUGUUGAUAGUCAUCCUUGUCGAUACCCUUGGAUUUCCGUUACUUAGUUCAUGAUGAGUGUACACUUCCUGUGCUAAAAAUUCUCUCCUCAUAGUUAAUUUCACAUACUUGAUUAGCUUCGUUCCUACAUACUAUUCCAGUAGUCAUGUGGGCAUCCUUCCAACCCCUAGGCACCAAAGAGCCAUGUGUCCUUGCCAUGAAUGUGCUGCAGCAAAACACAAUGCAUGUGAAGUCGAUACAUGAAGAGCUUCAAUUUUGCCACAUGUACUAACAUAAAAAGGUAAAUUAUAGAUCAACCCUCAAUAGAAAAAGGAAAUUAUAUAUAAAACCUAUUAAACAUAGGUGUUAAUGUUGUCAUUGUAACCUGGUCUCCAUGCAUCAACCGAUGGUAGCACAUGCCUUUAAUGUGUUUGUAUCGAGAGUACAGAUUAAAGACCUACUGAUCACCGAGCUAAUUUAAAAUUAUCUUUAAGGUGAAGGUGGUGGUGCCUAGCCUCCAUGGAUCACCGAUGGAAAUGUCUAGCUGAAGCAUUCGGUGCCUGCAUGUUGAAAGAUUUCUUUAUACUCCAAGUGACACACGCUUGACCUAAUAUAUUAAAGAUAAAACAUGAAAUCUCACACCUGCUUCGAUAACAGUACUUUAUUUGGUAUAUGUAGUAAUUCGAUCUUCUCCAGCCCUUAUUUAUUUGGUAACAUGGCUUACUCUAAAAGGCUUAAUUGUAUUUUUCAUCACAAAAAUAUUAUCUUUCUUGUUUCAGUAACAGUGCAAACAAAAACUUUGUGUGCUUGCCAACUCCACCGUCUACUACUCAGUCACAUUAAUCUAUGAUGAUAUUGGGCAAAAAGUAGAAACCUGAAUUUCUUUUUGAGCUCGGCUAAAAAAAUAAAGAAAAGGUGUUUUCAGUUCCAUAAAAACUGUACAUUUAGACGUGUACUCCGUAACUUUAAAGUUUAUUAGAAUUUAUUUUGUAUGUUACACUGAAAUGUUAAUUAAAUAUUUUUUUGGUCCUAUAUAUAUACGUAAUGGACAUUUACAUGUAGGAAAAAAUCAGGAUUUUCCAGCACUUUAGAGUGAUUUGAUUUAUUUAUUUUUUUGGAAAUUUUUGCCUAUUUGUAGCUUGGUAUCAAAAUGUUCGCACUCUCGACAGCAAUUAACCACACAAUUAUCUUCGAAAAAAACUAACAAAGAGAAAGAUCUGACAUGACAAUGUAACAUCGUUUAACAAAAUAGCAGUCCAAGACACUAUGUGUAAAAUACAUAGACAUGAGUCAUGCAUGUAAUAUGUUAUCAGUUCCAUCCAUAAACAGCUACAGAGAUAAAACUGUACAUCUAUUAAAAAGCAGCGAGUACCUUUCUCGAGUAUGAACCAUAUAUGAUAUUAUCUCUGGACAAAAAGAUGUUGUUGCUACUAUUCUUUCUCCAGCAAUAGGACAUCAACCCUAGAAGCAGUCCUCCAAAAAGUAUGGCUUGUCUCCGUCCACCAUGUGUGCUCGCCUGCGUGCUUUGGAUCUGUUCUACUAUUCAAGGGAAAGCAACUCAGGUAUCACGCAAGCUCCUUAAUUAAGCAGUUCUUCAGUUAUUCUUCUGGAGCUCCCUAAGGAAGACGCUAGUGUAUUAUGAAAUCUGAAUCCCGCUAUGAUAAUACACAGGGUCUCCUUUGCUAUGGUAUCGGUUUUAAUUUGCAUGAUAAGAGAAUUAACGUAUCAUAAUUCAUAGGACAUGAUAUACCUAUCAAAUUUCAGACCUGAAUUGACUUGGACACAUCCGAAGCAUCUCACCAUCCCGCGUUGACCUGCACCGUAACGCUCAUAGUUUCGAGGCCAUGAGAUGUUACCUUCUGCGCUGAAGCACAGCUAGCGCCAAUCAGCAGGUAUAUGCAAAGUGGUGCCAUCUCACAAUCCGUGAUAAAAAGCUCGAGAAGAUCAUUGUAGUUGGCUAGCAGCAGUAGUCAAGAGAGAAAGGAGCGAGAUGGGAGUUGCACAGAAGAAAAGAAGGCUGACUUUCACAAAGAGGUUGAUCAAUUCCGGCUAGAUGCGCUAGCAUCUUAAGUAAAGUACAUGUAACAGAUGGAUUUCGUCCUGCCGCUUACGCUGCCAGUAUUUGGCUAGACCAAACCUGCUUGAUUACAUCAAUUACUUUACCUGCCAGCAUCUCGACAUCUUCUACCCAAUCCUCUCCACAACCUCAUGUUCCUCCGAUAUCCUCUGCUCUACACCUUCCCCGUUGACCUUGCUCAAGCGGGGAGAAGCAGGAACGCAUGGACUGUUCUCUGAUCUAUCACUUGAGAGUCCACCCACGUGAGGAGCACCCAGCCAGCGGCCGCCUCUUGCCUCCGCAACUCCAUGGUCUUGUCAGGAUCGAGAUGCCGCUCCCCGCAAGGAGCAGCCAACCAGCGGCCGCUUCUUGUCUCCGCAGUGCCAUGGUCCUUGUCAGGAUCGAGAUGCCGUUUUACUGCUGCCCUAGAUUGGUUUUCUAAAAUCUGCGCUAUGUCGUUUUUUCUUAGAUUGCAAGGAUUAUACGGGUGGAUCUGCACCUUAAUAAUUCGGUCCCACCAGAUUAACGGCUCGUAAAAUCUAAUUAACGUGGUAAUUUUUUGGGAGUCUGUAAUUAGUAUAGGUAUAGAUAGAUAGAUAGAUAGAUGCGCUAUGUUGUUUUUUCUUAGAUUGCAAGGAUUAUACGGGUGGAUCUGCACCUUAAUAAUUCGGUUCCACCAGAUUAACGGCUCGUAAAAUCAAAUUAACGUGGUAAUUUUUUGGGAGUCUGUAAUUAGUAUAGGUAUAGAUAGAUAGAUAGAUAGAUGCGCUAUGUUGUUUUUUCUUAGAUUGCAAGGAUUAUACGGGUGGAUCUGCACCUUAAUAAUUCGGUCCCACCAGAUUAACGGCUCGUAAAAUCUAAUUAACGUGGUAAUUUUUUGGGAGUCUGUAAUUAGUAGAUGUAUAUAGAUAGAUAGAUAGAUAGAAGGGAAUAAAAGGACUUUCCCAAACUUUCAUUUUUGCAUUUAUGAUCUCCAUGAAUUCAAAUUCAUUUCAUCACAAAACCCUAGAGAGAAGAUGAUAUGACUUCUUUCAUUUCAACAAAUGAAAAGGGUUUUUGAAAAUAUUUGAAUUUCAUUUGGAAAUAUUUUCGAAUUCGGAAACUUUAAGCAACUCAAUGAUUUUCAUGAGAGAAGAUAAAAUGACUUCUUCAAAACAUAUGAAAUAUGAGUUGGAAGUUUAAAAGAAUCAAAUUUAAAGUCCCUUUGAAAUUAUUUUCAAUUUGGAGUUAUUUGGGUUUUAUUCAAAUUAUUUCUCUCCGAAAAUAAAAUAUACAGAAAAUAGGGUAAAAUAUACGGGAUAGAUUGAUCACCAUACUGACUUACUCUUAUUAUUCGCCUUGCUAUAUGGGAUGGUAAAUCUGAGUGACUUACCUAUAGUAGAGAGAUGGCGAUAUCAAGCCUAAUUGAACCUUAGAAUGGUAUGACAAUUUUCCUUGUACAAGGCAGCUGUUGCCAAUCGUAGGUCAUACGGUGAGAAUGAAGCCCAGACCUGUUUUCUGCAGGGACCCAGUCAAAUUGUUUGAUGACCACCAUGAGAUAUCGAUAGUUGUUUAGUAUUGACGCCAGACCGUCAGCUAAGAGCUAAUUUUUUUUAAAUAAUAAAGUUUUUUAUUAAUUUUCAUAAAUAUUACGCUGGCUAAAAAAUUUUCAAAAAUAAUACACCGUCGGCCCGCUGCAGGCCGACUGGGCCUAGUCGGCCCACAGCAGGCCGAUUGGAUUCCAGUCGGCCUACAGCUGGCCGACUGGCCCCUGUCGGCCCACUGUGGGCUGAUUGCGUCCUGUCGGCCCACUAUGGGCCGACUGGAGCUAACUGGCUCGCUUUGGGCUAAUUAUUUUUGCAAAAAAAGUAGGCAUAAAAAAUAUAUAUUUAAAAAAUGUUAAUCAUGUAAUUAAAAAAUGUUAAACGUGUAUAAAAAAGUGUUCCUGAUGUAUACAAAAAAUGUACAAUAUAUAUGCAAAAAUGUUGACAUAAAAAUAUGUUUUGAAAAGUGUUAAGCUUGUAUUUAAAAAUUGUUAAAUGUGUGUAUAAAAAAUGUUCCUUAUUUAUACAAAAAAUAUAGAAUGUGUAUGAAAAAAAGUUGACACCAAAAACUUAUGCAUGUGGGUGGUACACUGUAUGAGACCGGUCAUCAUGUGGGUGGUCUCUAUGGCUAUUUGUAGUAUAGUUAAUAAGUCGUUUGUGUGUAUAGGAAAUGUUAGUGGCAUUGUUGUGGCUUAUUUGGCUUUUCUGAACUCCCUUCUUCUGAAUUAUGAACAAGACUUAUAGGUAACAUAUACAUGGAUCGAUCGAUAGUGGUUUAUCUCUUUCAGGCGCUCGGCCGAAAGAUCGUUCGUCUUUCUUCUUCUUUCCAGAUCGACUAGCUAACGUCCUCACUAGAUUGGUAUAUUUCUUUUGGAUCGCUUUCUUGCCUUUUGAGUUGCAUGCAACUGCGACUUAACAGUACGCUUUAUACACUUUAAUGCCAGCUAGCAUAUAAAUAGCCCAUCAAUCUUUUGACUAUGCACAAUGCAUACAUUUUUUUCUUGAAAAAGGAGGUUGAGACCCCUGGCCUCUGCAUAAAAAAUGAUGCACACAACCAUUUUUAUUGAAUUAUUAUUAAACACAGCCUAACAAAAAGAAGGGCAUCGCUAGCCAUCAGACUACUGGCAAUUGCAUCAUAUCCAACUAGUCCCAAGCCCUUGGAUGAAAUACGAUGAAUGUUCGAUCGGCUAGUAGACCAUGAGAGCAUCAAGUCACUUCAUGCCGGACGAUACAACUUGGGGUUUCUCAAAAUCAUCGCUAACACGGUGAUUACAAUGACAACUUAUAGGUUUAUCAGAAAUUAUGACAAGGGGCAAGAUAUCUCAAGAGUGAGAUUUUCUCUCCAACGAUGGAGAAAUGUUUUUAGGGCCCUCUCGGUGUGACAACAUCCAUCAUCGUAUGGCCAGACACAGGUGACUUGGUCACAAGGAUGUCGGAACAUUACAACUUGGUAGUAUUAAUGAUUGCCGGGCCCUGUCCAGCUGAGUACAGAGCGACGAGUUUGGCACUCGACGAAGAUGUUGCCGAGUUUAAUAUGGCUAUACCAGGUUUCUUUGAAACUCAGCAUAAAGGGCUAUUCUAGUAGUGAUAGUGCUUCAUGACGGACAUAGUCCAUAACUGCUAGUUGAUCCCAGAUUACAUGUUUCUGAACCGCAAACAAAAAUAGAAAAUAUCAUAGAAUACAUUUUGCAGUCAGAUGUUGAAAACUGGAAAUUGUCAACAGAAUGAGGAUAGUUUUUCAAUUGUGUAUGUGUAUUAGCUUGUAUACGCACUACCAACCGGGGUAUAAGUAGCUACAUAUGCAUGUGUUGUAAUUGUGUGUACACCAUGCAUCUUUUAAACUCAUGUAGUAUAAACUAUUUUGCUUACUUAUAAACUUUCCAAUAAAUGUAUUAAUGUGAAUUUGGUCACAUGUGUGCAUUGUAUCUGCAAAAGAAUUUUGGGCGUGCACCGACCUAUAGGGGAUUUCCAUCCACCACAUAAACAAUUAUUUACACUUUGAAAUGUGUUCUAAUAAAAUAUUACCUAUACUCUUCUAAAUGUGUGUUAGUCAUUUUGUUCCACAUAUAAUCCAAGGCGAACAUUUGUGGUGGUGUCCAAGGGAGCGACAUGCUCUACACCAUGUUUGACACAUAUAGUACAUGAUAUAGGCCUGGUCUACUAGAAAUCAUAGCAGACGUCACAUGCCAUGCCAUGAGCGCCUCAGAAUAAAUUUUUCACCUUGCAGGAUCUUCCAUAUAAGAGCACCAGACUGAAGAAGGUGGUGAUGUCGUCAUAUGCCAUGCCAAUGUCCAUGGGAGCAGAACACUAGCGGGGCUUCAUCGAGCUAGAAACAUUGCCUCCUUUCAUGGACUAUGACAUUUCAUCAAAAUUGGCGCAUCUACCGUUGUUUUCUGGAGCUUUUUCGUACCAUUGCAUGACGUCGGGGCGUGCUCAUCGAUGAUGGGCAGCGUGGCACGUUCUAUGAUGAAUGACCACUACUUCAGGAACCACCACCACCAGAUGAUGGCCACCCAAAUCCCGCCAUUGUAGCUCUACCAGCACCAACAACGACAGCAGCAGAUGAUGAUACAUGCGGGUAUAUAUCACGGUUUCAUGGUCGGGGCUGAGCCUAUGAGUGGACCGUUGUCGACGGUGUCACAGGAGGACGUCGUAGCCGGGGCUGAGGAACAACUACCCGGGGAACACCACUUCAACACCAGUUGGUGGGACCUCAUUGGUGAUGAGAUAAUCCAAGACAACAUAUAUACGUGUGUGCAGGAAUACAUUUGGAAUAACUAAUGACCAGACAACUAGUCGAUAUGUGCCAACCCGUAUUGGUUUGCGCCGCAUUUUAUUUUUCAGUGCCACCUUGAGAGAGUUUGCAUGCAUGGCAUGGCUUGGCAUGCCUCUCUUGUGCUAGUUUUUAAAUUAUGUGUUUGUUUAUUGGCUUGUAUAUGCACUACCCACCGGGGUUUACAAAGCUACAUAUGCAUGUGUCGUGAAAUACUAGCAGGUGUACAUCAUGAAACUUUUAAACCCAUAUAGAAUUAACUAUUUUGGUUAAUUAUAAAUUUUCCAUUAAAUGUAUUAAUAUGAGUUUGGUCACAUGUGUGCAUUGUAUUUGGAAAAGAAUUUUGGGCAUCCACCAUAUAAACACUUAUUUACACUUUGAAAUGUGUGCUAAUAAACUGUUACUUAAACUUUUAAAUGUGUGCUAAUAAUUUUAUUCCACAUCUAACCCACAGCAAACUUUUGUGGCAAUGUCCAUGGGAGCCACAUGCUCUACACCAUCAGUUUGACACAUGCAGCAUGUGACACAGGUCUGGUCCACAUGGUCAGUGUUGGUCAGCGCCUCCCACCGGUUUGGUCACAUCACGCGGCAUUAAAGCAGGCUGCUGCGACGCAGGAAGCUAAUCGGCCCGUUGGAGAGCUAUCACGGGAGGGUUGUUUGGUGGGACCUAGGUGUCGGACGCUUAUGUGAAGCGGCCCGGACGCCCGCGCAAAGCUCAUCCAGUUUGGUUCUGAUUUGCGGGAAAAACGGAUGUCCGGACCGGUCCGCGGAUGGAUGGGGUACCGCGUUUAGACCACUCAGUCCAGAUAGAUGCGAGCGGCUUGAGGGCCAACUUUGAAGAUGCGCCAUGAUUACUACUCCCUCCGUUUGGAAUUACUUGUCGCGAAAAUGGAUGUAUCUAGACGUAUUUUAGUUUUAGAUAUAUUCAUUUUUGAGACAAGUAAUUCCGAACGGAGGGAGUAGUAGUUAUUGAUGAGGGAUGGUUUUCCAUAUAAAUGUAGUUGGCUGUUGUUCCACCGCGUGUAUAGUGUUUCCAAUUGCUAAAUGUCGUUUGUUGAUGGACGGGAGGUAGGGAGAGAAAGACGUGACCAUCAGUUAAUCAUGUUGCUAUUAGAAACCAUGAUCAACCAUCAGUUAAUCAUGGUGCUAUUAGAAACCAUGAUCAACAUGCAUGUUGGGUUAUUUUUACAGGAUGGGUGCACAGAAUGGCCAAUAAGGAGGGAGCAAAUCAAAGAUGUUGGCAUAUACUCCUUCUAUUCCAAAAUAGAUGACUCAACUUUGUACUAACAGAGUAUAUAUAUAAACUAAACAUAUGUUAUGCCGGUGCAUUUGAACAAAAUAGAAUAACAAAUGUACACAUAUUUCAUCUUGACUUUGAAUUAUUGCCAAAUAGAAUAAUGAAUGCACACGCUUUGCAUUUGACUAGUUAUUAACUACAACAAAUAGCCAUAGCAGCCAUCCACGUGAUGACCGGUCUCAUACAAUGUUCCAUCCUCCGGGUGCUUCACGGCUUCUAGACAUGCAUAGCAAUGUUGAGUGUCGACACGAAUCUCCAUGCCACGAUAGGGACCACAAAUGUCCUUGCCCCUAACCCCACCUACAUAUAAAUUGACAUGAAUUACUAGCAAAAUAAUUAAGAGGAUAUGUAUGAGCUCGGGUUGGCGUAGAACUAACCAACUCCAUUUUGCCCUUCCAAAGAAACUAUGGAGGUGGGUAUACACGUAUCGCUGCCGCGCUCGUAAUAUACCUCCGCGAACAAUAACUCCUCCUUUGAAUUCUCCAAGCUGCUUUUGGCGGUGAAGUUUACAUGACCAUAGAAGCCUCUUUCAUCCAUGAUCGCCGUGCUAGUGUAUAUGGCUCUGACGAGCUCAUACUUGACCUAUAUAUUAGCAUAUAUAUGUUGAGGCAAAAAGGACGAAGAAGUUAAUUACGAAAAUUGCGUGUACAUAGACAUACAAAAAAGUAGGGAGCGAGGGUAAUUAAAUGUUUUUGGGGUACAUAUAGUUCGUACUACCUGGUUCUGGUCUUGGCUGUUGUAGUGGUCGAGCGCGGCGGUUAUGUACUCGUUGGUCUGGCGCUCGAGGUCCGCCGCGGUGAGACCGCAGUCGUCGUCCUCGUACAUGGCAUCAAAGGCCGAGGAGUCGCCACCGAUAUUGUAAGUGGGAACAUUACUGGGAUUUCUAGCCCAAUAAUCGUGGUAAUCAUCGGAGAGGCCAGCGGGAAUGUAAUCGGCCAUGCUCCCAUACCUUAUAGUAGGUUAAUAAUAAUUGGAUUAAUUAAUGAACGACUUUAGUCGAUGGAAAAGCUAGCUAGUGUGUACGAGGAGGAGGCAAGGCUUGAGGAACUUACUGUGGGUAGCAUUCGUACGACGGCGAGGUAGGAAGACGAGGACCCUCCUCGUCCUGGGGUUCCGGCGGAGGAGGGAUCAUCUUUGAAUUAUCGGGAUUUCUAGCCCAAUAAUCAUGGUAAUCAUCGGAGAGGCCGCGGUGGCCGGUGCGAGCGGGAAUGUAAUCAGCCAUGCUCCCAUACCUUAUAGGUUAAUAAUAAUUGGUUAAUUUGUGAAUGACUCUAGUCGAUGGAAAAGUGUGUACGAGGAACUUACUCUGGGUAGCACUCGUAGGACGGCGAGGUAGGAAAACGAGGACCCUCCUCGUGUUGGGGUUCCGGUUCCGGAGGAGGGAUCCUCUUGUACAGCACACCGCCGCCGCCGCCGCCCCCAGUAUCAGACAUGGACGCUAAGGAUUUCACUCGCCUCCGGUAGAUCCGAUCGGAACCCAAAGUGUUGCGAGAGAGAAAGAGGGGGUGCUAGUUUGGCUUAUCUCUGUAUAUGUGUAUCGAUCUAUGAAUCAACCGACCUAUCCGGUGUAUAUGUAGACGCGCGCGCGAACUGAUCUGAUUCCUGACUCGGAAUCGAUGAGAUCUCCGGCCGACUCCGCCUCCUCUACCUUUUUUCUCUUUUCCUUUUUUUCUUUUUUAGAACAACUCCGGGCCCUCUACCAAUUAAUUACUAACUAGGUUUUUUUAGGUCAUUAAUUACUACUGUAAUUAGUAAUCCUCUGCAGUGCAAUCGGGCUGGGCUGGGCCGGCCACCUGAUGAAUACGUCCGUGGCACAACAACAUGGUUGAAAGCAACAGUACGUGAAAUAUACAUCUAUCUAACUUUUCUUCUUACCUAUGACGAUUGCUUCUGACUAAAUAAAGCAGGCGAGAUUUCUCAAAAAAAAAUAUCUAACUUUUCUUUUUUUGCCGGGGGAAAGCAUUUCAUUAACAGACUAGAUAAAACAUACUUAUCUCACAUCUAAGUCCAUCCCCGUACGAUCAGUUUUGUGCUUGAUUUUUUGUGCGUUCCUCUGUCUGAUCUCCAUCGAGAGCCCGUGCCCACUCGUGUUGGCCUGUUCUUGUCGUUGUCUCUGCAUUUUUCUAUUGGCCUAAUGUGAAGCUCAUUAGUCCCGGUUUGUAUUUGAACCGGCACUAAUGUAACCAUUAGUGCCGAUCCCAACGGCUAGGCGGGCGGCUCACAUUAGUAUCGGUUCGUGGCUAACCUUUAGUACCGGUUCACGCCACGAACCGAUACUAAAGAGGUGGUGGCGGGCUUUUGUCAGGCUGGAGUCCCACUAGCACCUUUAGUACCGGUUCACGCCACGAACCGGUACUAAAGUUGAUGAUUUCAGGGUCAUUUGCUAAUUUUCAGCUCAUUUACUGAUUUUUUUAGCUAAAUGACCCUGAAAUUGAAAUGCACUACAAAUGAACUCUGAAAAGGUUAUAAGUUGGCAUGGUAUCAGCAUUUCACCCAUAUAGCAUGUGCAAAAAAGUAGAGAGGGUUACGACAAAAACUGGAUGCACUUCGUGUGCAAAAUGGACAAUCUCUUUUGAAGUAUCAGGGUUUCGGACGAAAACUCAUCUGUCACAAAGCCGUUUCAUUUUUUCACUUGUUAUAACUACAGACUUUUUGUGCGUUUAGUAUGCAUCACUCAAAGCCACGUCAUCAACUUUCUGACAUCAUUUGCUAUUUUUCAUGCAUUUACUGAUUUUUUUUGAGCUAAAUGACCCUGAAAUUGAAAAGCACUACAAAUAAACUUUGAAAAGGUUGAAAGUUGGUAUGGUAUCAGCAUUUCACCCACAUAGCAUGUGCCAAAAAGUUGAGAAAGUUACGGCAAAAACUGGAUGCACUUCGUGUACAAAAUGGACAAUCUCUUUCGAAGUAUCAGGGCUUCGGAAGAAAACUCAUCUAUUACAAAUGAGUUUCAUUCUUUUAAUUUAUUACAACUCCAGACUUUUUGUGCAUUUAAUAUGCACCAUUCAAAUCCACAUCAUCAACUUUCAACCCUUUCUGACGUCAUUUACUAUUUUUCAUGCAUUUACUGAUUUUUUUGAGCUAAAUGACCCUGAAAUUGAAAAGCACUACAAAUGAACUCUGAAAAGGUUAAAAGUUGGCAUGGUAUCAACAUUUCACCCACAUAGCAUGUGCAAAAAAGUAGAGAGGGUUACUGCAAAAACUGGAUGGACUUCGUGUACAAAAUGGACAAUCUCUUUCGAAGUAUCAGGGCUUCGGAAGAAAACUCAUCUGUUACAAACGCGUUUCAUUCUUUUAAUUUAUUACAACUACAGACUUUUUGUGCGUUUAAUAUGCAGCAUUCAAAGCCACAUCAUCAGCUUUCAACCCUUUCUGACAUCAUUUGCUAUUUUUCAUGCAUUUACUGAUUUUUUUUUGAGCUAAAUGACCCUGAAAUUGAAAAGCACUACAAAUGAACUCUGAAUAGGUUAAAAGUUGGCAUGGUAUCAGCAUUUCACCCACAUAGCAUGUGCAAAAAAUAGAGAUGGUUACGACAAAAACUGGAUGCACUUCGUGUACAAAAUGGACAAUCUCUUUUGAAGUAUCAGGGUUUCGGACGAAAACUCAUCUGUUACAAAGGCGUUUCAUUUUUUUUCACUUAUUACAACUCAGAACUUUUUGUGCGUUUAGUAUGCACCAUUAAAAGCCACGUCAUCAACUUUCAACCCUUUCUGACAUCAUUUGUUAUUUUUCAUGCAUUUACUAAUUUUUUUGAGCUAAAUGACUCUGAAAUUGAAAAGCACUACAAAUGAACUUUGAAAAGGUUGAAAGUUCGCAUUGUAUCAACAUUUCACCCACAUAGCAUGUGCCAAAAAAUUGAGAAAGUUACGGCAAAAACUGGAUGCACUUCGUGUACAAAAUGGACAAUCUCUUUCGAAGUAUCAGGGCUUCGGAAGAAAACUCAUCUAUUACAAAUGAGUUUCAUUCUUUUAAUUUAUUACAACUCCAGACUUUUUGCGCAUUUAAUAUGCACCAUUCAAAGCCACAUCAUCAGCUUUCAACCCUUUCUGACAUCAUUUGCUAUUUUUCAUGCAUUUACUGAUUUUUUUUUGAGCUAAAUGACCCUGAAAUUCAAAAGCACUACAAAUGAACUCUGAAUAGGUUAAAAGUUGGCAUGGUAUCAGCAUUUCACCCACAUAGCAUGUGCAAAAAAGUAAAGAGGGUUACUGCAAAAACUGAAUGCACUUCGUGUACAAAAUGGACAAUCUCUUUUGAAGUAUCAGGGUUUCGGACGAAAACUCAUCUGUUACAAAGGCGUUUCAUUUUUUUUCACUUAUUAUAACUCAGGACUUUUUGUGCGUUUAGUAUGCGCUAUUAAAAGCCACGUCAUCAACUUUCAACCCUUUCUGACAUCAUUUGUUAUUUUUCAUGCAUUUACUGAUUUUUUUGAGCUAAAUGACUCUGGAAUUGAAAAGCACUACAAAUGAACUUUGAAAAGGUUGAAAGUUGGCAUGGUAUCAGCAUUUCACCCACAUAGCAUGUGCAAAAAAGUAGAGAGGGUUACGACAAAAAAUGGAUGCAGUUCGUGUACAAAAUGGACAAUCUCUUUUGAAGUAUCAGGGUUUCGGACGAAAACUCAUCUAUUACAAAGGCGUUUCAUUUUUUUUCACUUAUUACAACUCAGGACUUUUUGUGCAUUUAGUAUGCACCAUUAAAAGCCUCGUCAUCAACUUUCAACCAUUUCUGACAUCAUUUGUUAUUUUUCAUGCAUUUACUGAUUUUUUUGAGCUAAAUGACUCUGAAAUUGAAAAGCACUACAAAUGAACUUUGAAAAGGUUGAAAGUUGGCAUGGUAUCAACAUUUCACCCACAUAGCAUGUGCAAAAAAAUUGAGAGAUAUGACAAAAACUGUAUGCACUUCGUGUACAAAAUGGACAAUCUCUUUCGAAGUAUCAAGGCUUCGGAAGAAAACUCAUCUGUUAUAAAGGCAUUUCAUUUUUUUAACUUAUUACAACUCCAGACUUUUUGUGUGUUUAGUAUGCACCAUUCAAAGCCACGUCACCAACUUUCAACUCUUUCUGACAACAUUUUCUAUUUUUCAUGCAUUUACUGAUUUUUUUGAGCAAAAUGACCCUGAAAUUGAAAAGCACUACAAAUGAACUCUGAAAAGGUUGAAAUUUGGCAUGGUAUCAGCAUUUCACCCACAUAGCAUGUGCAAAAAAAGUAGAGAGGGUUAUGGCAAAAACUGUAUGCACUUCGUGUACAAAAUGGACAAUCUCUUUCGAAGUAUCAGAGUUUCGGACGAAAACUCAUCUGUUACAAACGCGUUUCAUUUUUUGAACUUAUUACAACUCCAGAAUUUUUGUGCGUUUACUAUGCACCAUUCAAAGCCACGUCACAAAUUUUCAACCCUUUCUGACAUCAUUUGAUAUUUUUCCUGCAUUUACUGAUUCUUUUUGAGCUAAAUGACCCUGAAUUUGAAAAGCACUACAAAUAAACUCUGAAAAUGUUGAAAAUUGGCAUGGUAUCAGCAUUUCACCCACAUAGCAUGUUCAAAAAGGUUGAGAGGGUUAUGGCAAAAACUGGAUGCACUUUGUGUACAAAAUGGACAAUCUCUUUCGAAGUAUCAGGGUUUCGAGCGAAAACUCAUCUGUUACAAAGGCGUUUUAUUUUCUUAAACUAAUUACAACUCCAGACUUUUUAUGCAUUUAAUAUGCACCAUUCAAAGCCACGUCAUCAACUUUCAACCCUUUCUGACAUCAUUUGUCAUUUUUCAUGUAUUUACUGAUUUUUCAUGGCAGCAGAGUCCUGUGCAGGCGGAGGCAAAGCAGCUUGGGGCAGUGUUUGAACCGGAGGUGGAACAAACCUAAUCUCGUAUAUGCUAACUCCAAAGUUUAAGGAACUAUCUAUUUGACAUUUGACUGUUUUUCAAUUCAACCACAGUCAAAUUUCCCAACCAAUGAACAGAUGACACCUGUUUGUCCCAAAACCCCCCACCAGCCUGAGGAACUUACUGUGGGUAGCAUUCGUACGACGGCGAGGUAGGAAGACGAGGACCCUCCUCGUCUUGGGGUUCCGGCGGAGGAGGAGGAGGGAUCCUCUUGUACAGCACGCCGCCGCCGUCGCCACCGCUGGCCCCAGGAUCAGACAUGGACGCUAAUUAAGGAAGUGGAAGUGUAGAUCCGAUCGGAACGGAAGUGUUGUGAGAAAGAUAGAGGGGAUAUAUGUAUGACUGGGUUGAGAUCUCCAACUAGUUUGGCUUAUAUAUGUAGCGAUCGUCUCCGGCGUAUAUGUAUAUGUAGACGCGCCAACCGAUCUGAUUCCUGAGUCGGAAUCGAUGACAUCCCCGGCCGACUCCGCCUCCUCUACCAAUUAAUUAUGGACUACUCCUAGGUACGAUUAACUUAGUAUAAUCCUCUACCAAUCGGGCGCCACCUGAUGGAUACGCCCGCCCGGCGCCCCCUAACUCCCUAACUUGUCCCUGACAUUGUUUUUCUUAGGAAAAGUCCCUGACAUCGUUCAGAGUACGUUUGAAGCAAAAGUAUGUGAAAAAUACAUCUAUCUAUCUGAAAGAUAAAUACAUAUAUCUAUCUAGCCAUAAAAAGCACAAUGUGCAUGAGUAUGAGUAGCAAAAAAAACAGCCUCCACGGCUCCGGUUACUAGGGAUCAAAUGUUUGGUUUAGGACUAAAAAUCAACCUGAUCUCAAGUUUAAGCUCUCAUUCGCUUUUGGUGAUAUUUCCAAACACGUUCUGCAGUAUCUGCAUUGUGUAAGGUUUCAGGUUUGGGUGUUGAAGGACUCGCACACCUCCAAGGGUGCGGCUCAGCUCUUUAUAUAUUGCCAAAGGGUAAUACAAGUACACGUUAUAUAUGGUAUGUAAAAACCCUAUCGAUAUACAAUACAAAGUCUAACACCCUUUCAUUUUUUUUUGUAUUUCUACUUUAUGUUUACCUGUUAUGGAUCUUGACACGAUGUUCGUCUCACCUUGAUUAACCUUAUCGUAAACAUUCUGCAUUCCAUGCGUUCACACUGAAAACCGACGUUCCUUUUCGAUCUCUAUUUCCAUGAAGAGGAUUUUGCCUCCUUCUGUAUUUCCCUCUAUCCCCACAAAAGCUAAUAUGUUUUAGCGUUUGACUCCAGAUCUGAUGCAAGAAUUUCGUUAUGUUUUCACCCCUUCCAUGUGCCGUGCGGUCUGCCCUUGUUGAUGUCCGCUUUUGGCCCCAUUUUUCUUCAUUUUUCUAACUUAUAAUAGAAACCAUCGCUCAUGAUAAAACUUUGUAUAGGAGGACAAAUUUAAUCUUAUUCUUUGGGGUUGAGGAAUUACCUUCAUCAUUUGUAAUGUGGGAUAAGGUACUCUACUAAUUAAUUAAUUAGUACAAAGUAGUUCGUGUGUGCCACUUUGAGGAGGGUGUUGGAUGAUAGGGGCAUCUAACAACCAAUCACAAACCUCUUCCCCCCCUGAUUUUCAGUGGGGUGGGCCGUCCCGCUCACCUGUUGGCCAAUGAAAACUAACCCACCCUGUAAAAGCCUGUAAACUGUUUGUACAUGUAGCAUUGCCGUACGUAGCGUGCCUGACCCACGCCGCCACCAGUAAUAGACAUAUGAUGGUGGUGAGCCACGUGUCACACGUCACCAAUAAUAGAAUGCACUAGUGGUGUUGGAUGAUAGGGGCACACCAUUAAUAUGAUUUCCAUCAAUAACAAAAUGCCACAGCAUUUGCAGCACAAAUCAAAAUGCUAAUUUUGUUCUAUUUUGAGUUGAACACUAGUACUUCAAUAUUUCUAGCAUGCAUACACCAUGUUCUAAAAACGUUCAACAAGUAACAACAUGCCACUUACUUCAUGGGCCUAGGAAGGGUGAAGCUAAUGGGAGAGGCGACUGCGGGGGCGACGGCAGGGGCAACGGCCGCCCAUGCACGUUCCCCGUCCCCAUGCCUCGGCGUUCGGCGGUGAGUCGGAGGCCGCUUCUGGGCGCUCGCCGAUCAUGAUGCGGACGAUACGAUGGGGAGGCGGAUGCAGACUCGCCGGAGUCUUCACCGUCGACGACGCCUUCUGAUUUGAUUUGCGAGUUUUUUGAUUUAGGUUACGGUGAGGAGGAGGUGGCAUCGACUUUAGACAAAGUGCUGCCCCUAGAUGAUCUGGCAAGGGUAGGACUACACGUGGGGGAGAAGAAGGAGAUGAUCCGGCGAGUCGUUCAUCAGAGGACGGUGGCGACGGCGACCAGGCCAUGGAAGGGCCUCCUCCCCAAGGUAUGUCUACCAAAUCUUACUCUUUUCGAUUUGAUUCAUCCGGAGUCUUGGACGAUGGUUGUGAGGAGAAAGAAAGGUCGCUGGGCGAUGGCUGGGCCGUAGCCGGCGGCGACCGUGGCGUCAGCGCCGGGAAUCAGGCGAUCGGGAUCAGAGCUGCCCGGUCGCUUCGUUUGAAUGAGUUACUCGGCCAUGAUGGGCUGGUGUUGGGUGACAACGUGUUGGGCUUGGCUAGGACUGGGUAUGAGGCCCAGGUCCCCAGCCCUUCGGGGUCUUUUUUGGGAGCCUCGGCCAUCAAGAUCGAUGGCAUUUCAGAUCCAGCGACUUUGGAAGCCUUGGCCUGUCGCGAGGCACUUGAUCUUGCUAUGGAUCUUGACCUUGCUAAAAUCCUCAUAGCAAGUGACUGCCAAGAGGUGGUGAAUGACAUAAAAAACUGCACUGGUGGCGUCUAUGCUAGUACCAUUAGAGAGAUAGUGGAGUCAAAGAAUACGUUUGAUGAUUGCUCCUUCAUCUUUGAGGGGAGGGCAACGAAUAUUGAGGCACAUAGUCUCGCUAAGCAUGCUUUUGGUUUGGAUUUCGGGCGCCAUGUAUGGCUUUUAAACCCUCCAAACAUCUCUUGUAUCCCUAUGAACAUUUUUGAGUAAUUAAUAAAGUGUGUUUAGACUCAAAAAAAACCGGUCCGUCGAUGCAGCCCUCGACAUGCAUGCGAUCGAGUUGAUGAGAGGGUUGACUAGUCCUGCUAUCUCGAGGCUGUUUCAUACUCCCUCCGUUCCAAAAUAGAUGACCCAACUUUAUACUAACUUUAGUAUAAAGUUGGGUCAUCUAUUUUAGAACGGAGGGAGUACGUCGGAGGCGGCUAGGGUUCGCCGGGUCGCUGUGCGGGGGUUCCCGAGGAUCGGAUUCGGGAGGGCUCCAAGAGUUCGUCCUACUGCGGCCAUGGCCGGUCGGGCCGCUGGCCCUCCUCCCAAACCUGCGCCGCCCAAGCCUAAGGUCGCGCCGCCGAUGCCCGGCUUGGCUCCGCGGCAUGCGCCGCCGCCCAAUCAAGUUGCGCCUCCGCCGCAGAGCAGGGCGGGGCUUACAGAGCAGGCGCCCACCCCACCGCCGCUUUAUGGGGGCCAGCCUCCUGCGGCUAGGGCCGCGUCGUCGGCGCAUCGACGAGGUGGCAACUCAUGCCAGCACCGCUUCCCAACGUACCGAGGCAGGGAGGCCACAUAUGGCGGCCGUGGUCACCCCCCCCCCUUGGCCAAUGUGGUGACGAGGGAUAUGACGCGUAUGGCGAAGGUCAUCAUCGCGGUUCGCCGUCGGAGGGCGGUGGACAUGGAUAUGCAUGGCAAAGUGACGGGUCGAUAGACCGUCCGUUCUACGGACCUCCGGGAGGCUUCGUCGAGGGGGCUUCUGGUCCGGACUACAGGCAGAGAGGUGGCUUCCGUGCUCAUCGUGGUCGCCGCGGUGGUGACCACGGAGGCAGAAACCGUCAUCGUCAGCCUCCGCCACCCACCGCUACUGCGACCGAUGUUGCGGAGCCAACGAGUUCCGCGGACGUGGUAGCGACUGUGCAGACGCCAGUGUUGUCAGGUCAGGCCAUGGCCGCGGUGACGGCACUGGCUGCGGCAGCGAUACCUGAGGCAGGGCCCAGUGCGGCGGGUACUGUCAGCGGGCCCGAGAAAUCGGACGGUGAGCGAGCUUCCAAGUGGGCCCGGAAGAAGGAGAAGAUGUUGUGUUAUCGUUGUGGUGAGCAGGGGCACUUUAUUGCAGAGUGUGUGACUGAGCUCUGUGACGCUUGCCUCAAGCCGGUGCAUGAGACAGGGGAAUGCCCGGUUCUGCGUGAACCAAUGCCGAGUGUUACUAUAUAUGGAGUGUGCUGCGCUGAGUUCAUGUUCUUUGGGUCCCCUAGUGCGAGGGAGAUCCCUAAGGCGCCACAGUGCACGACCACGGGGGUGGUCAAAGUGACAAAAGGUGUUUUGUCUACUCACAGAUCAUACAGAGGCUGCAUGAGCUGGCACCAGGGAACUUUCAGUGGGAGCUGAUUAGACUUGAGGCCAACAUGUACAAGGUUGAGUUUCCAACUACUGAGGACCUGCAGAGACUUCUGAGUUUUGGGUUGUGCAGAGUCCCUGGCAUCGAGUGUACCCUUGAGUUUCAUGAGAAGAAGAAGGUCGAGCGGAAGGGCAAGCCUCUUACUCAUGUUUGGUUACGGUUCUCGGAGGCACCAUACAAGCCUCUGAAUGAUGUUCGGGUCGCAACCAGCUUGGGGAAUCUUCUUGGGAAGACCAAGCGGGUGGACAUGGCCUUUACCCGAGCUAACGGGGUGGCGAGAUUGCUAGUUAGUGUUCUGGACAUUGAGUUUGUACCGAAUGUGGUUAAGUGGAAACGAAAGAUUUAUCCGGCUUCGGUUGUGCGGAAGUGGAAACGAAAGAUUUAUCUAGCUUCGGUUGUGCGAAGAAGUGCUAGGAUCCGCACCUCUAAAAUAUGUCAUGAUGAAAUAUGAGAGGAAUUUUUUGGAAUAGUAGAGGUCUUAAAGACUUGGCUAAAAGAAGGUUUCUAGCGGGUGCGUCUAUCGAACACCAGUUGGAUUUUAUCGCCCUCUCCGAAAUGGGGAGGGACAAUUUCACACCCCGGUUCCUUAGCACUUUAUCAAGAGGUGUCGAUUUCGACUGGCAUUGCCUUCCUCCAAGAGGAAGGUCCGGUGGGAUCUUACUUACGGUUAAGUGCGAUUCGUUGGAAGUUUGGAGUGUGGUCAUGGGAGAUUUUGCGGUGAAGUUUCAGGUCAGAUCAAAUGCCGAUGGGUUUAAUUGGGCAUUACUGGCGGUGUAUGGUGUCGCGCAGCCAGAACUCAAAGCUGAUUUUUUUGGCUGAUCUUGUCCGUAUCUGCGGUAGCGAGCAGCUCCCAAUUCUGGUUGGGGGCGAUUUUAACAUUAUUCGAAGGAGGGAAGAAAAGAAUAAUGAUAAUUUUGACGGCAGAUGGUCGCUUAUGUUUAAUACCAUAAUCGAAAGCUUGGAUCUUAGAGAGACAGAGCUUUCUGGUAGAAAAUUCACUUGGGCUAAUACAUUGCCAAACCCGACAUUUGAGAAGCUGGACCGUGUCCUCGCUAGCGUCGAAUGGGAGCAGAAGUUUCCCCUGGUAACAGUCCAAGCGCUAUCGUGCGCGAUCUCCGACCACACCCCGUUGCUCGUUGACUCUAGCGAGGCAACCCAUGUAAGGAAUAAAAACACUUUUUCGUUCGAAUUAGCAUGGUUCGAAAGAGAAAGGUUCCUGGAUCUGAUAGCAAGGGAAUGGGCUAAAGAUUCAUGAGGGAGGUCCCCUAUUAAAAGAUGGGAGAAUAAGAUAAGGUAUCUAUGAAGAUUCCUUCGUGGGUGGGCUAAGCAUAUGAGUGGGAUUUAUAAGGCUGAAAAGAAAAGGCUCCUUGUACUUAUUCAAUCCUAGAUUUAAAAGCCGAGUCCACCAUUUUAGAUACCAGGGAGUUGGAAUCUAAAAUGGAGGCGGAGAUGAGACUGAAAGAACUACUUCAAGAGGAGUAAUUGAAGUGGGCUUUGCGAGCUAAAGUUCGCAAAAUCAUCCAAGAGGUUAUAAACGGGCCGGCCAGCAGCCAUUCGCCGCCAUGACGAGGUCACACACGUUUUUUCUUUUGUUUAUAUUUCCAAAAUACUAAUUACGUAUACUUUAGAAAAUAGUACUAAUUAAGUUAGUUUUCUUAAAGUAUUCAUCGCACAUUAAAAAUGUGUUCACGCGGUAUAUCGAAAAUGUUGCCUCGACUUCCAGAAAAUGCUUGUACAAUACAAAAAAAAUGUAUAAAAAGUUUCAAACAUUCUGAAACAUGUCAGUGCCAUUUUCGAAAAAUGUUAUACAAUGUAAAAAAAAGGGUUUGCAUAUUUUUUUUGAAAAAUGUUUCAUAUUCAGAAAAAUGUACAUUACAUUUUUAAAUGUUCAACACUUCAAAGUUACGUUUGUGAUUUUCUUUAAUAUAUUAAUAAAAUUUUAAAAAAUGUGUACAUUAUUUUUCCUUUAAACUCCACUCUCCACUUUCCACUCUCCAACAAACGGAAACAGUUGCCCUCCACAUAAAACUCCUUUUUUAUACAUUAUUUCCCCUUUAAACCUUUUCUAUGUUGAAUCUACACCGUUGAAAGCGGCAUGCUCAAGCUUGAACAUAACAUGUUCAAGCACUUUCCUUAUUUACAAGACCUAUGGCGGGCGCAAACUGCUGCCCGCCACUGCUAACUUUGAUUUUGUUUGGAGAGUUUGGGUAUUGGUUAGCAAAAUAGUAUUUUCACGGGAAUUUCUCAUGGCCCACCACAGAUACGUUGAGAACCAGUGGCGGGUGUGUCGCCUCACCCGCCACUAUUGUAUCCCGACUAAUUCUUUGAAAAUAUAGGAGUGGCGGGUGAUGGUUACUGCCGACCACUACUGAUGAUUUAGCAGUAGCUGAACCUUUUUCCACCCGCCACUGAAACUUCCCCAAAAUAAUUGUGGCGAGUUUCAGUCUCUGUUCCAACCACUAAUGUGACCUCAUCUAUAAGCCUUACCUCAGUAAUGGCAUGGCAUACGGGUCAGUAACCCAAAACUACAUAUAUUUUUGGAAAAUACUACAAGUCAACACUAUUUAUUGUGAGACGCAAGCUACCAUUUCUAGUAGACCGGGCCUAUGUCACAUGUUGCAUGUGUCAAACUGAUGGUGUAGAGCAUGUCGCUCCCUUGGACAUCGCCACAAAUGUUUGCUCUGGGUUAGAUGUGGAAUAAAAUUAUUAACACACAUUUAAACGUGCAAGAAACAGUUUAUUAGCACACAUUUCAAAGUGUAACUAAGUGUUUAUUAUAUGGUGGAUGCCCAAAAUUCUUUUCCAGAUACAAUGCACACAUGUGACCAAAUUCACAUUACUAAAUUUAAUGGAAAUUUAUAAUUAACCAAAACAGUUUAUAUGGGUUAGGUAAACGUGCAUAUGUAGCUAGGUAAACCCCGGUGGGUACUGCAUAUACAAGCCAAUACACAUACACAUAAUUUCAAAACUAGCACAAUAGAGGCAUGCCAAGCCAUGUCACGCAUGCAAACUCUCUCAAGGUCACACUGGAAAAAAAAGUGGCGCAAACCAAUAUACGGGUUGGCAUAUAUUGCUGGGUUAUCUUAUCAUCAGUACUUCCAAAUGUAUGCAUGCACAUAAGUAUAUAUGUUGUGCUGGGUUAUCUUAUCAUCAGUACUUCCAAAUGUCAUCCAUUCCCAUGUUCCUCAAUGAGGUCUUGCCAAUUGAUGUUGCAGUGGCGUUCCCCGGGUAGUUGUUCAUCAGCCCCGGCCACGACGUCCUCCUGUGACACCAUCGACAACGGCCCACUCAUAAGCUCAGCCCCGACCAUGAAACCCUAAUAUGUGCCCGCAUGUAUCAUCAUAUGUUGAUGUUGUUGUUGGUGUUGGUAGAGCUGCAACAACGGGGUUGGGGUGGCCAUCAUCUGGUUGUGGUGCUUCCUAUAGUAGUGGGCAUUCAUAAUAGGACGCACCACGCAGCUCAUUAUAGAUGAGCCAGCCCCGACAUCAUGCAACUACUACAAAGAAGCUCCAGGGAAGCCAAUGUCGACGAAAUGUCAUAGUCCAUGAAAGGUGGCGAUAUUUCUAGCUUGAUGAAGCCCUGCUGGUGUUCUGCUCCCUGGACAUUGGCAUGGCAUAUGACGACAUCACCACCUUCUUCAAAUUGGUGCUCUUAUGGAAGAUCCUACAACGUGAAAAUUUUAUACUAAAAAUUUAUUCUGAGACGUAAGCUCCCAUUUAGACCAGGCUAUGUCAUGUACUAUAUGUGUCAAACAUGGUGUAGAGCAUGUCGCUAGCUUGGACACUGCCACAAAUGUUCGCCCUGGAUUAGAUGUGGAAUAAAAUUACUAACACACAUUUAGAAGUGUACGUAAUAUUUUAUUAGAACACAUUUCAAAGUGUAAAUAAUUGUUUAUGUGGUCGAUGGAAAUCCCCUCUAGGUCGGUGCACACCCAAAAUUCUUUUGCGAGCACUGCUACACACACGAUAAGUUUUAGACAAUCUGCGAACGAUACACAACAUCAGCCGUUCAUGUAUGGAGAAGAAGUUGAUAGCACCGUCCAAACCUUCCAUCGUCCAAAGCUCGUGCGGGCUACUGUUCCAAGCAGUAGUUUCGUUCUUUUGCAGAUACAAUGAAGACAUUAAUACAUUUAAUGGAAAAUAAUAUAUGUAAACAAAAUAACCAAGCCUCUAUAUCCGGGGAUGAUUUCGCUUGGACGUUUCGCCACUUGUGUGAAAAUGACUUGCUGUUAAUCUGGUGUUGGACACGUGCAUUAGUUUGGUAGGUGGAGGGGUAAGAUCUUCUUGUGGAUCUAACUGUCCCGUGAAAAUUUUCUUAACGUGAUGUUCAACUAUUCGUGUGGAUCUAGCGAUUCUGUUGGAGAUUUGCUUCCCAGGUCAAACGGCUGGUUUGUCGUGUCAACCACAGGAUGGCGCUCUCCCGCCUCACCGAGGUGUGCGCUUUGCUCGGGACUGCAAGUUCAUCGUCGACAACCGCGACGGAAACGUGCAGUACACCCGGUACUACGGCUGUGACGCCGCCGUAGCCUAGCCGCCGACCUCGACCUAGACUGGACGUUGUGAACUCUGCCGGGGAGCUACUAUCUCCGGGAGGGCGUGCUGGACCUCGAUGAGGUAUACGGCGUCCUCGACAGGGCCUGGUCCAAGCCGCGUGAGGAGACUGCCCUUCGCGGGGAUCCAACCGUUGCAGCGUCCUCGAUCUCAGGUUCGCACAUUUCUCUCCUUCUAUAAAGCUAUGGUACGCAAUUUGCGUACCCUCGAAAAAAAAAAGAUCUCAGGUUCGCACAUCAAUUUGUUUUUGUCUUACCCGACCGGCCUGUGAAUCUGUGAUUGAUUGCGCCGGUGCUGUUCCACCUGGGGACAGGGCUGUGCGUGGUGCGGCGGUAGUUGAUGCAGCCGCUGGACUUGGGCCCGUGCGCCCACGCUUGCAUCUCGGUAGUUGAUGCUGAGCGUACGCCCACGCUUGCACCAGCGGCACCUAGCGCUGCGGGACAGCCUGCUGAUGUGCCUCUAUGUGCAGUGCGCGGGAUGGCGAGUACACAACGGUUGUCUCUUCCUCACUCUCUAUCCCGUGCGGCCUGCCGUCCGUGCUGUGUUGUUUGCGUGCAUGUGCUGCUUGUGCGCUCCUGCUAUGUCGCGCGUGUGUGUGUGCACUGUGCUGGUUACUGGCUUCGUGAGUUCGUGUAAUCGUUGCCGGCGUCCGUGCUCUGUAGUUGUAUGCGCUGUGGACGACGAUGUCGCCCCUCUCGCUGCCAACGUAGAACCGUAGAAGCCUCUCUUGCCGAAAGCAGCACUGGCAGGCUGUACAUCUUUGUAUUUAUUUACUUAUACGAGCUCAAAGGUUCUUAUAUUAACUACAAAUUACAUGUGCUUAUACUUUGUACUACUAUAUAUCCUUCUAAGUAUGCCAUGACACACAAACAUGGAGAAUUUUUUUAAAAAAAAAUCUCUAGAGCUCAGCAUAAUGGCUCUCGGAAAGAAACACAUUGGCUCUGGCCAUUAUAGUUCAUGCUUUACUAACAUAUGUGUCACUUGACUACAAUUAAUAACCGAACCAAUUCCAGUCAAAACUAUUUAUUUACAAGAUUUAUAUUGUAACCCAUUUUUCACCAGUUCUCUAUACUUACUAAACAGUAUGGGUUUACCCACAUUCUCAUAUUUGUUGUAUGUAGGCAUCAAUACUAAAAAUACAGUUUUACCCUAUUCUCAUAUUUGCUGUAUGCAGGCAUCAAGUUGUGAUGAAUUUGGAAGACACACUAUUAACUUACAUAAUAAGAUCCUUAAGGGUAAAAAACGCAAGCAAUGGCAAGGUAUUAACAACCUAUUUUUCCCAUGUUGCUUACUGAAGGUGAACAAUAAGAUGCGUUUUAAUGGCCCUCUCGACCUGCUGUUUAUUUUAUAUUUAGGUCGGUCCAGAUUUUAUUAUUCAUAUGAAAACUGUAAAGUUUGUACUGUCAUGUUCUAGCUGUUAAAAUGCUUACCGUGUCAACAGGACAAUGCAAGGUGUUGUUGCGAGUUGUCGGUUUCAGUAUUCAUUCUUUUCUGCAGCACAUCAACUUUACAUGGACAUCUUACGUUUUUCUCCUAGUGUUUGAUUUUGAAAUCUUACUUUUCUCUCCCAGUUUAUAUUUCUGAGAGGAAAAAACUUACUUUAUUAAUCAAAAUUUGUAUGCGCGGCCUACCUGGUUUAUACUACAAUCACUGUACCUUUUCUUCAUUGUGUGAUGUGUUCCCAUCUCACUAGUUAUGUUUCUCUGUGUUGUAUAUUUGUUUUUACUUUGAAUGUUAUGAGACAAUGGCCAGUCUAAAAGAUCUGGCUGAGAGGAUGUUUUUCAAUUGCUAUGUCAUGAAUGCAAGUUAGUCACCAGUCAGACAAAAAAACUGCAACAGAUGGUCGUACCUAUUGAUAUUUCUUCCUAUACAUAAACAUUGGUAUUUCCAGUUUUAUACACAAACAUUAUCUCGAUGUAUAGCUGAAGUCUAUAUGGUCAUAAAUGACUGAUUCAGGCAUAAGUCCAUGCACAUUAUUUGCCCCAUGUAUGAACUCUAUCAUGUUAACUACUAAUAUGACACUCCCUCGGUUAAUGAUGCCUUUAUAUACUGAAACUAACGGAAGAAAGUUAUCAUUGUAGCAUGCUCUUUGUUGUAUAGAACGGCGUGGCAAGAAUAAAUGAGUCUUAUUGGAGAGGUCGCAAUGUGUAUUUCUCUAUGCCUCUUUCCAGUUUAUCUUUCUACAUACAGGGUUCUCUUACCUUAAACCAGUAACAUUUGUUGUAAAUGGACACAUCGUAUCGAUAAGCAUUAGGCGCGGCGUGCCGCCACGUGGGCUAAGCUAGUAGUUUAUACUAUAUGGGUUUAAAAGAAGUAUGGUGUACCCACAUUUACAACACAUGGAUAUGUAGCUAGGUAUACCCGUGUGGGUAGUGCAUAUACAAGCUAGGUAUACACCAAUUGAAAAACUAGCACAAGAAUGGCAUGCCAAGCCAUGUCAUGAUUGCAAACUCUCUCAAGGUCACACUAACAAAACAAAUGCGGCGCCAACCAAUAUGCGGGUUGGCAUAUAUCGACCGGCCGUCUGAUGGAUGAUUAAUUUAUGCAUGCACACACAUAUAUAAGUUGUCUUGGGUUAUCUGAUGAUCAAUUCUGCCAAAUGACAUCCAUACCCAUGUUCAUCGACGAGGUCUCGCCAACUACUGUUGCGGAGGUGUUCCCUGGGUAGUUGUUCCUCA